GGUGUUUGGGUAAAUGAUGCCCUCCCUCUUAAAGCUCUGAUUCUUCAUAUGCUUGGGUUCAAAGGAUUUUUUUAAUAGAAGAACGAAGAGGCAGAAAGUGAAUGUUACAGAAGAAAGUCCUUGCGAUGAACAUAGAAGCCAUCAGGGCACUUAAGGAGCCAUAUCAGCAUCUCUGACAUUGUUUGUUAACUGAAGGGGGGUGAUUGAACUAACUUGAAUAGUCUUCAAAGGCAUGAACUAUUUUGGAAUUUUAAUAAUUUGAGACUAGGUUAACAUUCUUCAACAAUUUUAGGGGCUAAAAUAGCCUCUGUUUUAUUUUUUUAUGACAAGUUCCAAAUGAGGGAAUUGACAUCCAAAUCCAGUUACUUCAAUGUAAAGGACAUCCUAUCAAAUCUAAUCGAACCAAUUUCGUAUUGAAUGAUUUCAAACACAACAGUUAAUAUGUGCACUCUUAAUGCGAGUGUUUCUAUCAAAUUCAAACCCAAUGGUUAAAAUAACCGACAUUUUUUUCAUAGAUCAUAGGACAAAUGGUUCACUCUAUUCUCGGUAAGAUAUGUAAGACUCAUUGCUUAGUGCAAAUUCAAUGGAUUCAUUUUCUAUUUCCCAACGGGCUCUCAUACCUGUUAUCCUCGCCUAUCUAAACCACUUAUGUUUGUGGGGAAAAAAGGCAGCAGGAAAUGUCUUAUGAUACGCAAGUGACUUCAUAAUUUAUGUAUACCAUAUUGAGAUCUGGCAGUUUCUUGAAAUAUUAUAUUCACGAGAAAACAGAAAUGCACUUUAUGUUUUCAUUAUAAGAGUGUAGUAGAACAAAAAAUGUCAUGCUGGUUAAAUUUACUCUUAUUUUAAUAGUAGCUGUUCUAAGAACUUAAGACCCAAUGUUAUAUAAAGUGAAUGAAACUGCAUUGUGACGGUCUGAUACCUUUAAACUAGAUAAAAACUAGUUGCUGGGCUCAGAAAAUAACACACUACAUUCUAAAGAAGGAUAAAAAUCUGGUUUUUGGGCCAGGUUUGAGCACAAAGACAAAAUAUCCCCCUAACAUGGAGCUUCCUCCUCCAACACAGGAAAUUGACACCUUAAUUUCCUUUUACUAACGGGACUUUCCAAAGCUCUUACAAAGAAACUCUAAUUGGAAGCUCUAUAGCUGUUGCAACUAUACUACAAAUAUAUUCCAAGAGAUACCAUGUGCUAGCUGAGAACAACAAUUACUGCAAUUAUAUUAAAAAUCAAACUGUUUUUAGGAUAUUCUCCCCCACAGAAGUGGUAAGGCAAUGUGUUUUUUGUACAGAACUUCAGAAGUUUGUGUGAAUCAGGAGCAUUAUUUAUAUUCAAUUCAGUAUUCAAGAUUACAUAUUAAAUUAAAGAAGUAGACCUGGUUCAAAUGAAAAUCUACUAAGAAUAUUCUUUACACUGGGUUUGUACUCUUAGAAUUUGGGUUUGGACUUAUUCUUACAAAACUAACUUGUAAGAUGAAAUUAUUCUCCAUUUAUACAUUAUACUUUUAUUGUAUCUCUAAAUGAUGUGAUAUCUCCAACAAGUACAAAGUUCAAAAUAAAGGCAGUUUGACUUCAAUCAUAUAUAUAUUCAAAGAAGAAAUACCUGUGGGACCACUAUUGCCAGAUUCAGGACACCCAUUGAUAACCCUGCAAAUACCAGCAAUCCAUAUGAAUAGUUCGUCAUGCACGUAUUCAAGAAGUAAAAACAAUGGAAUGAAUAGAGGUCAACCUUGGCCAAGUCCCAAAGACUCAAUAUGUGUGGAAAUUAAGGCAUACGGAACACUGUAAGUGAUCUGCAAUAAAUAAUAUUAAUCAAACAAUAUUUGACAUCGUUUACAAAUUUCUAUUUCUAAGAACAAGUUAUACUAAAAUAAAAUGUAUCACAAGGGUUCCCCCCCAAAAAAAUAAGAGGUUAUACAAGAUUGGACAGUGUGAGCCAAAGGAGAUUGCACAGCAAAAGCAAAUCAAAUAAUAUAAUUCAUAUGUAUUAGCAACAUAUUCAAUGUUGAUAGGAAAGGAACAAUACGCUUUGUGGAGUAGUGUAGGGAAACUUACUGCCAGUGGAAACCCAAGAAUGGUAAAGAUAAUCAACGCAGCUAUCACAAUGCCAGGUGGAGGUAGAUCUUUGCCUGCAUAGCCUAUGUUACUUGCCACAUAGGUUAAUACUAACAUUGCAAGAAAGCAAAAUGUCAUCACGAGAUUUGAGAUUCCCCACACAAAACCAGCCCCCCUCUUCCUGCAUAACCUUUCCAUGAGCAAUGAUGUUAAUGCAAGAACAACUGAAUUAAGCAACAAACCAAGUGCUCCCAUUCUAACUCCAGCAUCAUAAGUAAGGCCUUGAUUUGGAUUACCACCAUAAAUCUCUCGACCCAUCCAAUCAGUAUCAAAUAGAGUAAAUGGAAACCACCCAAUCCAUGUGAGAGCAGUAACAGACAGAAUUAUCCACACAGGGGUUGAAAAAUAUUUUAAUGUCCCAAAUAAUUCCCACAUGAAAGCUUCUUCGGCACUACCUGACUCCUCGGCCCCAGCUUCAGCAUGGACUACCUCAUUAGAAUUUAGAGGCACUUCAUGAGCUGCCAUGAUGCUGAUAUAUGUUGUGACCGCAAUGAAACCAAUGUCAAGAAAGAAAGCAGACUUGAGAUUUGCACAACUAAUUGUGCAAGCAGGGGAAAGUGUAAAAGAAAAAAUCUUGUACCAACCACUGUAUGAUCCAGUUGCAUAGCCAAGAAUAUUACCAAUGGCCAUAAACAGUGAGUAAUAAGCAUUUGCAACGCGUGUCCUUCGAGGAUCCUUUCCUAACAUUCCAAAGAAGAUGAACAUUAACGUCUUGUUUUCCAAAUGGAUCACUCAUUUUCAUAUAAAGGAUGACAGACAUAAUGUAAACAUUGUGAUUUUUUUGGUUGAUAAGGGAACUGAGGGUUCACACGUGAUUCUCCCUCUCUCUCUCUGAAAUGAACAAAUGUCCAAAGUAACACUGAGGCAUAGAAAGAUGCAUAAUGUCUCAUGAAAUUUAUUCAGAAAAUUUAGGUCACUUUUGCAAAGCUAUUUAGGUCAUAUGUUAUAAAAUUAAAAGAUAAUUACUAUAUCCUUUUAAUUUAAUUGAGAACUGAAUUCAAUAGUAUGGCAGAAGAUCCUACGGGAAGUGGACCUACAGUUUUGGUCAAUACAGGAAAUUUAUUUUCAAAAAAGCCUGUUAUACCCCACCUUAUCAAUCACCCCAUGUGUUUAACAUAAUGAAACUACUUUUAAGUAAGUUCAUUAGCAGUUAUGAAUAGUUAGAGUACAGAUUCUGCUAUUUUGAUUAGUUGGUAGCAGCUUUCUCUUUCCUGUCACAGCAGCUUACAUUCUAUACAUGCAUGUACUUGUUAAAUAAAAGGUGUGAAAAACAUUUUUCUCAUUAUUCAACUUUCUUAGACACCUCUAAAUAGGACGACAUUUAUUCAGUAUUUUUGGAAUAGAAGCUUCAUUAUCUCAGGCUCUUAUCCCAUUAUAACAUCAGCAGAUAUCCCAUAAUUUAAUAUGGUAGCAAAACUUAUCAUAAAUCUGAUCUUAGACAACCCUCAAUCGUCCAAAAAUCUACCUAACCCAACAGUUUUCCAAUGCAAUAUUAAAAGGAAAAAUUGUCCCACAAUGUCCACAGUCCAUAUGUACAAUCCGGGGCAUUGGGGAUGAAGAGAUCUCACGUCAAUUAUAGAUAUGGCCAAAGUAGAACUUAUAAAGACUUGAGCUAUCUUUAUCUCGUGAGCAAGCUUUUGGAGUUGAGUCAGGCUCAUCCCAAAUUCUAAAUGAUAACAAAGCCCAUUGUAUUGUACAUCAAAUAUUGGUCACUCUUAACUAUUUAAAAAUUUACCUAGGUCGGCAGCUUUCCCAAUGCAAUUUAAAAAAAUUAGUCUUACAGAGUCUACUCUCCAAAUGUUCAAUGCAAUAGAUUAAUCUUAUUAAACUUAGGCAAUCCUCACCUUAUGAACUCACUUUUGGGUUUGAUUCAGGCUCAACUCAAAUAUUGAAUAUUGUAUUAGAGACUACUGUAAAUCUAAUGUUAGAUCACCCUCAAAUCAAAUUCUAGAUGGUAUGAAAUCCUAUGUGAAUCUAAACUUAGGUUACCCUAAACUAUCUAAAACUCUACCUGGCCCAAUCUCCAGAUGUCCCAAUCCUAUGCAAGAGGAUCCGACAAAGACAACAGAUAUGGACAGACUAAAGCUUAUAAAGGUUCCGACGGUCCUCACCUCAUGAGCUCGCCUUUGGGAUUAUUGAAUUUGGCUCAGCCCAAAUUCUAGACAAACCAAGGGUAACUAGUCAUGAGGGAUGAAAAGAAGACAAGCCUAAAUAAAAUAUUUUUCAUCAUAUUUAUUACUGUACCUUCUACACUACACCUCCCCAUAGAAUCAAAACCUUUCAUUUAUGAAAUUUCUAAAUCACAGUUUAUCCAGUUUUUUUCUAAAUCACAAGGUCUUCAAACAAAGUAACACAAAGAUUGUGAUCCAAGGGGGUGCCCACUAAACCAGAAAACAGUCAUGAGAGAGAACCUGACAUUUAGCCAGCAAAAGGCAGAAAACCUAGGUUUUUCCCUUUGGUAGUAGUUUCAAAUUUGUCAAUGCUGUGAAUAUAUGAGAAAAGUUUGCUAAUUCAAAAGUUAUAUAAAUAUUUUAAUUCAGACCAAAAAUCAUGACCUAACAAGAUAGACAAUAAAAUAAAUUCUGACAAAUAAAUGACCAUUAACUAUACAACAAAAGGCUCAAUCCAAACAUAAACCAUAAUAACAUCCUUAAAAACUCAUCAAGUUCAAGUGUAAUGGACACUGCAUAAAGAUAAAAGAUGAAUAUCUGAGACAGAUACUAGUUGUAGCCACAUUAAUAAACGAACCAUGAUUUCAAUUUUGUAACACUCGGCAGUAAGCACUAACCUCUAUAUAAUCUUAUGCACACUCAUUUUUUCUUCUAUGUAUACAUGAUGUUGUUUUUCCAUCUUUUGAUUUGUACACGUAAUAUUAUUCAGAGGCUAAGUUUAGCUUUCAACAGACAUAAGUUUCUUCACAAAUCAAAGAAAAACAGUUGCAAUUCAACAGGCAAGACCGUAACUAAAAAGUAAAAAUCUAGCAAACCCGUGAGUUUCAAAAGCAAGACAAGAAGCACUAAAUAAAUCUAGCAACACAAGAAGCAUGCAAUGAAAAAGAUAACACCCCCUGACCCCCUCAACACAACUAGAAUGCAGAGAAAGUGUACUAUGACCCUGAAGACUUAAAUUUUGUUCCCACAGAGCUUCUUAGUCGCCAUUUUGACUCAAACUACGAACUAGGUGCCACUACAAGCCGUAUCCCAACAAAAUAACCCUUAACAAAAGACACAAUUGAACCUUCGCGUUUUUCAUUUUACAUUUUUGCGUUCUCCUUUCUCCUAACUAAAAAUAAUCAAGUUGGCAAUCUAUACAAAAGCUUACGCUAAACUACAUCCCAAACCAAACGCCAAAUUGAACAUUUAGUAAAUAUUCCAAGAUAGAAAAUUUGGUCACAUCCGGUCAACGCACGCUGAUCAUAACGGUCAAAGUUCAUUAAAUGAACAUAGUCAAAUGCAAGAAACACAAGCGAAAUCACGCUAUCUACAAAACAGAGUAAGAUCCAUGAAGAAACAAGGAAGUCAACUAGGUAGCUCGAUCUUCGUUGAACACCUCAGUUGCAUUCGUAAAAUCAAGUCACGAAAAAAUCAAUUAGUCAAGAACGGUGAUAACUUGAAUUAGGAAUUGCGAAUUAAAAUCUGAGAUAGGAGGAGAGGAAUCGGAGCAUACUGGUGAGAUCACUGAGCAAGGCUCGACAGGGACCUUGCGUUACGUUGUUGGCGACGUCGAGGAUCCAAAAGCCAAUUAUGAAGACAGUUAUGGCGGCAGGUCGGUAGGAAUCGGUGUCGCCUAGGAGCCAGCCGAUGUCGGCGGCGUAGCCGAUGAUGAUGACGGCGAUGACGAUGGCGAUGGCGCCGAUGAAGAUGAAGGGGCGGCGACGGCCGAAGCGGCUGGUGCAGCGGUCGCUCAAGUGGCCGACGAGAGGCUGGACGAAGAGGCCGGAGACGGGGCCACAGAGCCAGAUGAUGCUGGCCCAUUGGUGAGGGAUGCCGAGCUGCUGGACGUAGGGAGUGAGGAGGGAUAGCUGCAAGGCCCAACCGAACUGAAUACCGCUCGCCACUGACGCCACGCGCAGUAGCUGGCGCAGCGAGGCCCGGGCCGGGGUCCGCGGCGGCGCCGACGUGGAGGGACGGCCCCGGGAGCGUGACUGUUGGCUGCGGUUAGCCUCGGGAUUCGGCAUCGCAGGUGGUGGCACUUUUGCCGGUGCCCCCUCUCUCUAAUGAAAACCGUUUCGUCAGGUAUGACAGAAGAGAGAGAGAGAGAGAAAGUGUUGUGUGUGUCAGUGUCUGUGGCGGUUCGGUUGUGGUGUGUAGCAGAAGCAAAGGUGGUGCGGUAUGGUGCAGUUCAGUGGGAUUCCGUUGUAACUUGCGAUGUGGGACUUGCUAUCACCAAAAUUGACCUCUUAGCCACACUUAUUUGCGCAACUACCCUUCUCUCUGUCAUUCCUAACUCUGCAAUCAAAUCUAGUUAAUAUUAAUAAUAGACAACUCUUCAACAAGUGGUUCAUAAUUUGGAUUUUAGUUAUUAAAUUACCUUAAAUUUAACUCAAUUGAAAAGAAAUAAAUAAAGUAAACUAUUACAUUAUAAGUAAAUUAAAAUUUGAGAUUAAUUUUAUUUUUCAUUAAAAUUAAACCACAAAAAGUGAUCAAGAGUUUUAAGUUCGAAAAGAUGCUCUUUAAUAGGUAGGUUUUCAGUAGGGAUAUUUUAGUACCUAAAAAAGAUAUAUUGAGAAUAAUAUUUUUCUUGUAAUUAUUAAAAGAAGUUCAAGUGGUUAAUGAAACGACAAGGAUUUGGAUAGGGACGGAAUUAAAAUGUGUUAGAUUUAUUAAUUAAUAAUUAUUAGUAUUAAUUAGUAUUAGGUUAAUAAUAGGUAGUGUGUAAAGUUAGGGAUAAAGAAAAAUAAAAGGUAGUGGUAAUGGAUUGGGAAGGCUAAUUAAGUAAUAAUAAUUAUUGGUUAGACAAAUGGUUCACUGAUUAGAAGAUAUUUUGCCUUCAACUUUUUGCUUUUGGCUUUUGGGAGAAGAACGAUUCUAGCAAUGUGCAUAGUAAUAGUAGGUAUAGGUACGUAUAUACGUAGGUAUAGUAUGGGUCUAGUCUUUGUUCUUUUGUGGGGUAGAAUAUCCUAAAGUGACCCUCAUUCACCAUUAUUUAUCAUUUUUCACACUCUUCUUAGUACUUGUCUCGUAUGGGCAAAUAAAUAAAUAAAACAAACCCCUUCAAUAUACUCUGUUUUUUCUAAAUAAAUAAGAUGCAAACAAAAAAGUUGUGUGAACAAUUUUUACUUGUAUUGUAUCCGUAUUUGUAUUUGUAUUCGUAUGCAAAUGUAACUAUUAGUAAUGCUUAAAAUAUUAUUGCCUUGCGAUUCACGUUUAGAAUUGAAGAAAAAAAAUGUUGGAGAAGGUUGUAUACAGUAAAGAGAAAAUGAUUGUGAAAAUAUUUUCUCAUAAUCUCAUCAACAUAUGAUAUUAAAAAAAGAUAUUAAAUAAAUAAUUAUAGAAAAGUAGUAGAUAUAUUAAAUUAAUGUGGAAAACAGUGAUGGGGUUUUAAGGGAGGGCCCACAGAGCAUCUUCUUCAAUCAUUUUGGUUUGCAUGACAGAAGAAUUUGAGGCAUUUACAACACAUUAUAUGUGUGACCAUGGUUUACUCUGAAAUUCGUUGUUCCUAGGUUUGGACUCUGGAACAUAAUAAAUAAAACCAUUUUCUUCAUUAAAAAAUUUAAUGAAAUUGUCGUGGUUGUGAAAGAUGCAAGAUUCAUUCAUCUCUUCCAUUCAUACUCACGUGCCAGAUAUUUUUUUGUGGGCAUAACGUCCAAAUCAUGUUUAUUCAACCUCCAAUCUAAUUUAUUUUGAACCUGGUUGCACAAUGAAAAGUGAUUCUACCAUUUGCAUUCUAGGAAAAACAAAUAUAUUCUGAUUUUACCUGCAAAACGUAAAAUUGGAUAAAAUAAGCAUUCUUAUCAAUAGUCUAACUAAAGAUUAAAAAAAUUAUUAGUUUGUGAGGAAGAAGAGGAAGAACUUUCUUAUGUGCUUGAGGCUCAAUCAUAAAAUUUAUAUUUCUAUAUAUAUUUUUCACUAUUGUUAAUGAUUUUUUCUGUUACCCUUAAAAAAAAAUUAUGCAUAAUAGAUCUGAAGUUAGAUCAAAUAUUUUAGAUCAAAUAUUGUGAAUUUUACCUUUUACAUAAAAAAAAUUAUAUUCAAAUUAAAAUUAGAAGUAUACAAAUUAAUAAUGGUAUAGAAUUUAAGAUGAAAGAUUCCUUUGCUUCUUGGAGUAUCAUUCAUCACACCACUUGUGUGGAAAUACUACAAGAGAAUAAUAUAGUUGAAAGAAAACAUCAACAUUUUUUUAAAUAUCACUAGUUUUUUUUUAUUUCAUUCUAAUCUUCCUACAAAUUUUUGGAGUUUUGUUAUUCAGCAUGCAACUUUUUUAGUAAACUGCAUUCCUACACCUCUUCUUAAUAAUGUUACAUCGUAUGAAAAGUUAUAUGGAAAUAUAUGAUAUUUUUAAUUUACGUGUGUUUUUAUAUUUGUGCUACUCUAUUUCUCUUGUUGCACAUAGAAAAAAAAAACUUGAUAGAUGUGAUGUACCUGGGAUUUUUUUGGUUUCAAAUCACAUACAAAAGGUUUCUUUUUUUAAAUCUUAAAAUUGAUAUUUCUAGACAUGUAUUUUUGUGAAUUUUUUUUCUAUGCUCAGACUUAUGAUAUGUAAAUGUACAAACUGACAAUGCUAAUAAUACUAUUGAUACUCCCAUUGUUGACAAUAAUAAUGUUGAUGAUACUCGCAUUGUUGACAACAAUGAUGUUAAUAUAACUGUUGACAAUGAAGUUUCUUCUACUUAUCUUAGAUGGUCAAAUCGCAACAGAAAAAUUCUCUUUAUUUAAAUGAUUUUCAAAUCAACAACAACCAUGUAAGUACUCAUCAUCCUCAGAACUUUUGAACUUCAAGUAUUUAUUUGUUGGUUUUAGACAUACCAUAAUGUUCAUAUCUUCUAAUGUUGAACCUCAAAAUUACGAGGAGGCUGCUAAAAUCUCAAAUUAGGUUCAAGUCAUGAAAGUUGAAUUAGCUGCUCUUGCAACUAAUCAAACUUGGACUAUUACAAGUCUUCCUUCCGGAAAAAACGCUAUAGGUUGUCGAUGUGUCUACAAAAUCAAGUAUAAUUCUAAUGGUACUAUAGAACAUUACAAGACAAGACUUGUAGCAAAAGGGUACAAUCAAUUGAAAGGUUAAAUUUCUUGGAAACCUUUGCACCUGUAGCUAAGCUAAAAACCUUGAGGUUACUUUUGGCUCUUCCUACUACCAACAAUUGGGCCUUAAAGCAAUCAAAUGUCAACAAUGUGUUCCUCCAUGGUGAUUUACAUGAAGAAGUUUAUAUGAAGCUUCCCCCGACCAUGAAACUAACUGCAAGAACAUUGUAUGUCGACUUCAAAGGUCCCUUUAUGGUCUCAGACAAGCAAUACAUCAAUGGUAUGCUAAACUAUCUCAGCUCUUACAAUCAAAUAACUACAAAAUUUCUACUAAUAAUCAUUCUUUAUUUCUAAAACAUGAUGGACAAACUACUAUUGCACUCUUGGUUUACGUGGAUGAAAUUGUUCAAACUGGGAAUAACCUUAAGGAAAUAACAUUACUGUUAUUCUCCAAAACAAAUUUUGUAUAAAAAAUCUGGGAGAUCUAACCUACUUCUUUGGUAUUGAAAUAGCAAGAAAAAACAUUGGCAUCCAUCUCAGUCAACAAAAAUAUAGUCUAGAUUUACUUGAAGAAAAUGGCAUGCUCACUUGUGCUUCAUCCUUGACCCCUAUGGCACACAUAGUACAUCUUAUGGCUAAGAAAGGUAACAAACUUAAUGAAGAAAAAGCUUAUUCUUAUAGAAGAUUAAUUCACCGUCUUAUUUAUCUUACCAACACACAUCCAGAUAUAUCCUUUUCUGGCAACCAUCUCAGCCAAUUCGUCUUUACACCUACCAGUGAUCACUAUCAAGUUGUUAUGCAUGUGCUAAAAUAUGUUAAAGCUUCUCUUGGUGUUGGCAUUUUUCUACACAGCAACAACACCAUUCAACUCAAGGCAUAUAACGAUUCAGAUUGGGCAAUAUGUCCCGAAACAAGAAAAUCUAUAAUUGGAUUUUGUGUUUAUCUAGGAAACACCAUCAUUUCAUGGAAAUCUAAGAAGCAAUAAACUAUCUUAAGAAGCUCUUCUAGAGAUGAGUACUGAGCCUUAGCAAUUACAACUUGUGAGAUUCAAUGGCUAACAUAUUUAUUAUAAAGUUUCUCUUAUUGAACUAACCCUAUUAUACUGUGACAACCAAUUUGCUAUUCAAAUUUCCAAUGAUUAAGUGUUUCAUGAAAGUACAAAACAUAUAGAAAUUGAUUGUCAUGAGGUCUGUGAAAAAAUCAAGAAAAGGUUAAUCACACUACAAAAAAUCAGAUUUACUAACAAAGUUUUACGUACAGACCUGAAUCCGUUGGUAAAUUCAGCAUUACCUACGGAAUUACCCACAGAUCUGAAUCCGUAAGUAAAAUCAACAUUACCUAUGGACAUUACUCAUGAAUACGAAUUCAUAGGUAAAUUCAGCUUUACCUAUAAAUAUUACUCACAUAUCUCUAUCUAUAAGUAAUUUUUACAUUAUUCACAAAUUUUACCCACGAAUUUAUAUCCAAAAAUAAAUUCAAUAUUAUUAUUAAUUAUUAAAAUAAAUAUUUUUAUUAACAAUAUUAAUAAUAUUUUUUUAUGUGAUGACAAAUUAUUGUUGUUAGUUGAGAUGUCAGUCUAGUUAAGAUGUCAAGUUGCAUAGUGAUACCUAACAUGAACGCUUUUAUAAAAUAAAUAUUAAUAAUAUUAAGAAUAUAAAUAAUAUAAAUAAUUUUAAAAAUUUUAGUAAUAUAAAUAAUAUUAAUCAUAAUAAUAAUUAUAUACGUAAUAUUAAAAAUAUUAUUAUAAUAUAAAUAAUUAUAAAACCAUAGCUAAUAUUCAUAAAUAAUAAUCAUAACUAAUAAGUAUACAUACUACUAACUUUAUAAAAUUAAUAAUAUUAAUAUUAAUAAUAAUGAUAUUAAUAUUAAUAGUAUUAUAAUAAUAUUAAUGAUAUUGAUAAUAUUAAUAACAAUAAUAAUAUAAAUAAUAAUAUUAAUAUUAAUAUUAAUAUUAUUAUUAUUUAUCUUAUUUAUAAAAUUAAUACUAUUUCUAAUUUAUACCUAUAUAUAAAGGAAAUUAUCCGCUCUUUUGGUGUUUAUCAAUUUUACUCUUAUAUUAAUAUUUAUUUUAUUGUUUUAUCUUGUACAUUUUAGUCAUUUCAUUAUUUUUUUAAGCAUUUAAUAAAUAACUAAUUAUUCUUAUAAUUAAUUGGAAACUGUUUUUCUUUUUUAUUUUUAAAACUAAUAUUCCAUCAUUUUGUAAAAAGCAGUUACCAAUUUUAAAUUUUGAAUGUGGAGCAGUUUAUUAAAAGUUUUGUACGACAUGGAGCAAUUUUUUCCUCAUAUUUUCAUCUCUCUUAGAAGGCAAUUUCUCCCUCCACCAUAUCAAUUUCAACAUGCACCCAAUCAGCUCUAGAAAAUGACAAAAAUACUCCUUCUAAAUGAUGAAAAUAACCUUACACAAAAAUGGAAAAAUUAUUUUUGAAACUUUUAUCUAAAAUAUUUUGGAUUUCAAUUUUCCGAACAUUAUUUUUGAAUUCUGGAAUUUUUUAUCCAGAAUGUAUUUUUAGUUUUGUGUUCAGAAUUUUUUUUCCAGCAUGUAUUUUUUUAUUUCUCAAUUAUAAUUAUUAUUUUGGAUUUUUUAAUUUGUAAUAAGGGUAGUUUUGGAAAUUUAAAAAAUUGAUAUGGUGGAGGUUAAAAUUGAUAUGGUGCAGGAAGAAUUUGCUCUCUUAGAAAUAGGGGUGACAAUGCGGGCUGGCCUACCCCACAUAGGCCUGCCCCGCGUUUGGCAUGCAAAAUACGGGUUGGGUUUGCCCUCCCCGCCCUAGAAGUGCGGGCACAUUUCAUUGGCUCGCCUUGCAUAAGAAGUAACCCGCAGGCCUGCGGGUCAGUCUGUAUAAGAAUUUUUUAAAAACAAAAAAUAAAAUUUCAUUAAUUAUAAAAAAAACUUAUUCCAACUACUGAAAAAUUAAAAUUUUAUUCAUGUUUCAAUUCAUUUAAUUAAGAUAAAAAUAUAAAUUCAAGUGUGAGAGUGGUUAGAAGGCUUGAUUAAAAAUAAUUAAAAUUUUGUUUUGCAUAUAUUUUUUCCUAUAUAUGUAUGUAAAUGUAUAAGAGUAUCUUAUCAAAGUUUUGCUACAAAAUAUUUUAAUGAAGAUGACUAAUUUUUUAAUUAUCUUAUUGAAAUUUCUUCUUUAUAUUAUUUUUUUAUUAACAAAUUUUAAAUAUAAGACUUUACUUAAAACUAAAUUCAUUAUCACUCUUAAUAUUAACUCCUUUAGAUGAUUAAAAUAAAACAUUCAUUUUUUUAGUACAUUAAAUUCAAUUUUUUAAAAAUAAAAUAAAAUGAAAAUCACACUGCAAUAAUGGACGAAUGGGGUAUGAUAUUUUUUUACGAAAUAAAAAUUACAUAAAUAUUUUUUCAUUUACGUGGGCUAGCGACCAACCGCCCCGCUAUUAGCCUGCGUGGGCUACGGGUUAUGCGGGGUAGGCCAAAGCGGGUCAGCGGGCUAGAAUAGUGAGCCCGUCCCACACUUUUUGGUAGCGGGUCAACCCGCAUGGCUUGCCCCGCAUUGCCACCCUUACUUAAAAACCAUUGUGACCUCCGUCAACAACAUUUAGCGGACGACCAUCUUCAAAUGCCUCGCGUGGGCGACUUAGAUGGAGAUGUGAACAAGGAACAAAACAACUUAUUCUUAUUCACUCCAAUUACAUCUUUCUUCACGGAUCACCUAUUCUUUUCAUCACAAAUGUGGCAUCGAAACGUCUCCAAAUUCGAUGAUAGAAUUUUGAGUCUAUGAUUUCUGACGCGGUCUUUCUCGCAAGAGGAAGGGAAGAGGUUCGUUGCAUUAUGGAAAAACGACUAUUACAAUAGUUUGGAUUUUCGUAACUUGGAUAUGCAAUGGUAACAUGUUGUUUGUCCUGCCUUUGCAACCAGACCUUUAAAGUCGUUACUUUGAGACGGUGCUCACAAUCUCUUUUUGACAUGUUUGUUUUUUAUUCCUCUUUAUCAAAUUGAUCAUUCUUUCAUUUUCCUUUAUUUAUUUGUUCCAUUAAAUUGAGAAUUAUUAAUAAAUAUAAAACAUUGUUUUUUUUUCUUUAUUAUUGUACUAAUAUUAUCACUUUAAAAAUGUUAAUGAUAAAAAUAAAAAAUACAGAGAUACAGACGCAUGAAUACUCGUGUUUCCGCUAGUAUUAAUAAUAUUAAUUAUAUUUAAUAAUAUUUGAUAGAAUUUUAUAAUAUUGAUAAUAAUUGAUAAUAUUUGAUAAUAUUUAAUAAUAUUUGAUAAUAUUUAAUAAUAUUUGAUAAUAUUUAAUAAUAUUUAAUAAAAUUUGAUAAUAUUUAAUAAUAUUUGAUAAUAUUGGAUAAUAUUUGAUAAUAUUUGAUAAUAUUUGAUAAUAUUUGAUAAUAUUUAAUAAUAUUUUAUAAUAUUUUAUAAUAUUUUAUAAUAUUUAAUAAUAUUUAAUAUUUUUAGAUAAUAUUUAAUAAUAUUGGAUAAUAUUUAAUAAUAUUGGAUAAUAUUUGAUAAUAUUGGAUAAUAUUGGAUAAUAUUUGAUAAUAUUUAAUAAUAUUGGAUAAUAUUUGCUAAUAUUUAAUAAUAUUGGAUAAAUUUGAUAAUAUUUAAUAACAUUUGAUAAUAUUCGAUAAUAUUCGAUAAUAUUUGAUAAUAUUUAAUAAUAUUUAAUAAUAUUUAAUAUUUUUGGAUAAUAUUUCAUAAUAUUGGAUAAUAUUAGAUAACAUUUAAUAAUAUUGGAUAAUAUUUGAUAAUACUUAAUAAUAUUGGAUAAUAUUUGAUAAUACUUAAUAAUAUUGGAUAAUAUUUGAUAAUAUUUGAUAAUAUUGGAUAAUAUUUGAUAAUAUUUAAUAAUAUUGGAUAAUAUUUGAUAAUAUUUAAUAAUAUUUAAUAAUAUUUAGUAAUAUUGGAUAAUAUUUAAUAAUAUUGGAUAAUAUUUAAUAAUAUUGGAUAAUAUUUCAUAAUAUUUAAUAAUAUUGGAUAAUAUUUAAUAAUAUUUAUUAAUAUUUCAUAAUAUUUAAUAACAUUUAAUAAUAUUUAAUAAUACUUAAUAAAUAUAAUAAUAUUUAAUAAUAUUGGAUAAUAUUGAAUAAUAUUUAAUAAUAUUUGAUAAUAUUUAAUAAUAUUGGAUAAUAUUUGAUAAUAUUUGAUAAUAUUUAAUAAUAUUGGAUAAUAUUUAAUAAUAUUUAGUAAUAUUAAAAAUAUUUACUAAAAUUUAGUUAUAUUUAGUAAAGAUUUAAGGAUAUUUAGUAAUAGUUAAUAAUAUUUAGUAAUAUUUAAUAAUAUUAUGAAUAUUAAUAAUAUUAAAAAUAAUAUUAAUAUUAUAAAUAAUAUUAUUUUAAUAAUUAUUGAAAUUAAUAAUAUAAAUUUUAUUAAAUAUAAAUAUUAAUAAUUUUUAUAUUAUUAAUUAUAUUAAUAUUGAUAGUCAUACUAAUAAGUAUAAUAAUAAUAAUCAUAAGAUGAGAGACUGGUGUAAUUGGUUAAAACUUAUUUGGUCAUUCAAGGAACUUGGUUUUGAGCCCCAAUUAGAAUUUGUUUCUAACUUCUAACAUUAAUAAUAAUUAUGAUAACAUAUAUAAUAAUCGUUUAUAAUAAUCCUAAAAAUAAACAUAAAUAAUAUUUGUAGAUAAUAAUAAAAAACAUUCAAAUAAUAAUUAAAAAAUAUGUUGAUUUACUUAUUGAUUUUCUGUUUUUCUUUUUUAUGUAAAUUUUUAUUUUUGCACAGUGUAUUAAACCACUCGUAUUAAUGAAAUUCAUUUUCUCUAUAUUUUCUUUUUCUCUCUGGAUUCUUCCACACCUUUCUUUUUUGUUCAUCUUUAUUUUUCAUCUUCUUGCUCACUGCCUAUCUCACGUGUGUGAAUUCUUAUUAUCUUGUUACUCAAAAGAAGAUUUUUAUGCAAAUAUUGAAUAAUGUUUGUAAUAUUUCUCUCUUAGAAUUGUCAUCUCCCUCGUGUAUUAAGGAAGAGUUAAUUUCAGUACAAAUUGUUGAAAAUGUUUAUCUAGUUGGUCGGAAAGAUUGCAAAAAUUACAUUUACAGACUUAUUUAGAUUUAUGUAAAAUAAUAAAAAAAGGAAAAGCUUUUUAUACAAGUACACAUGGGUAAAAGUAGUUGAUCUUAUGAAUAAUGUGUUAUUAAUCUUAUGAAGAUGACUAAUGUUAUUUUUUAUUUUGGUGAUGAACUCUUUAGUAAACAUUAUCACUAUAAGAAAAAUAUAAAUUAGAGAAAGAUGGAAAUGAAUAAAAGUUUGACAUUAAUUUAGAGUUUCGUUAUUAAUUUAAAUUAUUUAACUACAUGUUGGUUUAGUCAAAGCAACCAUGUAAUAUGGUUUUAUAUUUGUUUAAAAUUAAACUGUUGGAGAUCCCACAUCGACUAGAGAUGAGAGCCUUUCAUAGUAUAUAAGUGGGUGCAAACCUCACCCCAUUGAGCCGGUUUUAUGGGAUUGAGUUAGGCUUAAAGUCCACUUUGUAAUAUGGUAUCAGAGCCAUUUCGAGCCUAUCCUAGCGAGUGUUUGUGUUGGGCCUAUCGUGCCACCCGCUAUCGGGCCGCUAUCGGACCACCCAUAAUAUAUAGUCCCACGCACGAGCUUCUAUAUAUCACUCUCGGCGGCGUGAGGGGGGUGUAGAUCCCACAUCGACUAGAGAUGAGAGCCUUUCAUAGUAUAUAAGUGGGUGCAAACCUCACCACAUUGAGCCGGUUUUAUGGGAUUGAGUUAGGCUUAAAGUCCACUUUGUAAUAAACUUUUACCUAUAUUUCAUUGAUCGAGGUUUAGUUGACUAUGUGUACACCUUUAUUUUUAUUUUUGUAUUAUAAUUGUAACAAAGACAACACAUGUACAUGAAAAUGGGAUAAUAAAUUAACAAGUAGAAUUAAAAAGGUAAGAAAAAGAAUAUAUAUAUAUAUAAUAUAUUCAGACAAAACUAAUAUCGAACCUAAUUAAAGAAAAAGAAUAUUAUAUAUUAAAUUGUUGAGUAAUUUAGCACGUAAUUAAAAACGAAAAGUAAGGAUUUUCAAAUUGUUAUAAUAGAAUUAAAAUAGCAAUUCAUCUUAGGAUUACAAUAACAUAAAAGUUGUCAAGGAAAUUGAAAUGUUAAAAAAUCUUGUUUAGUUCUUAAACUUUCUCCUUCUCUUCUCACACGUUUUUCUUCCUCUUCUUUCUACUCAGUCUAGAAAGAACCUCACCUCCAUAGUGACACACACAUUUUCUUUUUCUUUUGAAUUUGUCUUUAUCUAUUGGUCUAAAACUUUAGUGAUUGAUUUAUGUUUUUGAACGGGGUUGGAACCAAGAGAGCGAUUGUAACACUCCUCGGUCGCCUCAUUUGCGAUAUGUUCUGACUCUCUCCAACUCCUUAUACUUUCUUGAACUACUACACUUCUCACACGACCGAGCCCGUUAGCUAACUGUCUCUUGUAAGUCGGUCAGGUAACACUUUGUUCAGCCCUUUCACCACAUCUUAUAAAAAUUUCAAAGGAAAGUUUUUUAAAAAUUUUGUGGAGCCUAAGGGUACGAGGCUUUUCUUUUAUGAAGCCGGUUGGUCCAAAUUUCUUCUGUAUUGGACUAGGAAUCCUACCUGGUUCAAGGAAUGACCUCGUUCGGCUCCGAGUGCCGAGGAGCAAGAGAUUUAUUCCCUUUUUGACCAACUCCCCUGAAGGCUCCCUACAUGGAAAUUGUUAAUUGUGUACAAGUCGUCUCAAUGGUGGAUGAACUUCCAGUGUACGUUUACAUUGUUUUUCGUCUUGGUCGGUCUUUUAAUGUUUGCUAAUGUGUUUUUUCUUGGUGCAGAUAUCAUGACUAAAAUUUUUUUGAGGUCGACUGAUACUAUGGCUGCCUUCUGUGCCAAGGCCCUUCAACAGGGUAAGGGUAGAGGUAGAGACCGUUGCGGCUGGCAACUCGUUCGGAGCUGGUGCGACCGACCCCUUUGUUGUUGAAGGGAGCAGGAAGAAAAGGAGAAGGGAGGCUGGCAACAUCGCUACUACCACCAAGUCUCAAGGUGGCACCCUAACUCGUCCAAUCUACUUGGAGUCUUCGUCGUUGGUCGGUGAUGUCGACCCCUUUGUUGUUGUUGUCGCCGGACUCCCCAAACUCCAAUGGCCCCCUUGUCUCUUCUAGGGGGAAACCUUCAAUUUUCGAGGGGCGUUCGGGUGGGCUUGCCGUUAGUUGCCGAGAACCUCCUCGCCCCCGUUCUCGAGUAGGAUUUGCUCCUGGGUGACAUUGAGAUGUUGUGCCAAGGUCUCGUUAUGACCCGGUUGGGUGCGUAUGCCCGAGGCCAGAGAGUCGAGGAGAUCUCGCGGCUUGAGCACGAGUUGACCGAGACUUCCAACUCAUUAAAGUCAACUUUGGAGGCGGUCUUGGCCUUUGAAUCGAAGAUGGCCAAAGUUGCGACUGAUCUCGAACUGGCCGAGGCGAGGGCGACCGAGAUGGAAAGGAGGGAGAGGGAGAAAGCGGUCGAGGUGGUUGAGAUGAAGAAGGCCCUGAGGAAUCCGAGGCCAAGAUCUCGGUGUUGGAGAUCAAGAAGGCAUCGGUGAAGGUGAUGGUGGGUGAGAGUUUUGACCAGACCAUCAAACAGGCCUACUUGCUUUACAAUGGGCCACCACCGAUGGGUGUUUUUUAUGCUUCCAAGGAUGUCUACGAGGGUCGACUGAUGCCCUUUGACGAGCUGGAAGCCUUGAAGAACACGACACCGAGAGCUCCUACUGAGGAUUUUGAAGAUGAAGACCAAUAGAUUUAGUGUUUGAUAAUUUUGUUUCCUCGGGCCGGGGAGUGGCCUUUUGUUUUGUUCCUUCGAGGCUGGGGUGUUGCCUCCUCCUUAUGUUUUAUGAAUAUAUCGGUCAUAUUUUAUAUUUAUUUAAUCACAAUGCAAGUUAUAAGUUAAAAUUGAACAACUAAUCAAUCGCUAUAAUCCAAGAUAAGAACUCUUAAGUUGUUAGUUUGUUGAGUUUCAGACGAUGUGACCGAUGAGGUUGAGCGUGGUUGUUUGACCAAGGUAUCGGAAAGGUAUACCAAAUAGGGUUUCGUCCUUGACCAAUCUAAGUCUUCAUGUUGUACUGUUUGGCUGCCCAAGGUUUGCAUGCAGCUUCACGAAUUUUACUCUUGUCUCGGAACUCAUUUAGUAGGUCAAGCCCGACAUAGAGUUUCAUGGUUUAAGGAAAACUUAAAGAGUUGUCUUCUAAGGGAAGGUUUGCCCACCUCGACUGGGAUCAUGGUCUUGAUGUCGUAUGUUAGACUGUAGGGUGUCUCCUGCGUCGAGGUUUGGGGCGUGUAGCGAUAUGCCCACAAGACUUCUACCAGCUCUUUAGUCCACCAUCUUUUCACCGUGUCAAGCCGCUUCUUUAACUCUUUAAGGAUAACAUUGUUUGUGGCCUGGUCUUGUCUGUUGGUCUAGGGAUGCUCAACCAAGCUUGUUAUAGACUUUAUACCAAGAUCCUCAUAAAAGGAGUCCUUGGUCGAUGAACUGCUGACCAUUAUCGAUUAUGAUGGUGUGGGGAACUCCGAACUGGCAUACAAUGCUUCUCCAUACGAAAUUCUGUAAAUUAUUGACUGAGAUAGAAGUGAGGGGCUCGGACUCGACCCACUUGAUGAAAUAGUUGACUCCGACCAAGAGAUAUUCGUUUGACCCUUUCCCGAACUUGGACCAUGUGUCGAGUCAUGAUCUCGGUCGUGCUAGUCCUACCAUUACAGAUUAUUUCUUUUCUUCUUCAUUUGUCGUGCCAAAACAGCAAAGGUUGUGGAAUAAACUAGUUUUCAUCCCCAUGAUUAUCCCAUUAUGUUUGUUUAACAAAGAAACACGAAAUACAUUGUGUAUCCUUGAAUCUGCUGGCUACUCCAACCGAUAAGCUACUUCUCCAACUCUGUUCAAUAUUUUAAAUGGAUCAUAAUAGCGUGCUACUAAUUUGUAAGGUUGUAACUUAAGAUAAAUCAAAUCCCCAAUCUCAUAUUGCUUGUCUUGGCGCUUCAAAUUUGCAUACCAUUUUGUUCAAACAUGACCCUUUAUUAAGUAAGUUUUCACAAGUUUAGAAAUUUCUUCUCGUGUCUUCAUAGUGUAAUUAAAAACUUCCACCAAAAAAAAAAUCCAUACCCUUAUAUUUAAGUAAUCUAGUUAUAAAAUCCAUUCAGAUUGAUUUCCAUACUUGGUUGGGAACAAUUUGAAACAGCUACAGUUUUGUCAAGAUUAGAUUUAAUACCACUUUUUGAAAUCAAGUGUCCCAAAUAGCUUACUUAGGACUUACCAAAACUACAUUUCUAUUAAUUAAAAACCAAAGAAUUUAUUUUCAAAACAAUUAAGCAAUUUUAUCCAUUUUUCACUAAUAAAAUUAUGAGUACUCCAUGUGUCCAUUAGAAAAGGAACUUUUUGUUUCUUGUGAGACUCAUUAAUUGCAAAGAAAUGUGGACUGCAAAGUCAUUAAUAAAAGUUUGUUGAAAUUUGUUGUGAUGGCAAUGAUUAACAAGAAAACAAGGCAAAAAGUUGUUGCUUCAAUUGGAAAAAUAGGGAUUGAGUUUCAUCUUUCUCACUCUUUUGUAUUUUGAUUAGCAUGGUAAUAUUGUGCCCUUAGAUUGAUAUUGAUGCCCGUAUAAAAAUCAUUUAUAUCGAUUCCUCGCAUAUAAAAUUAUUAAGAUGCUUCCUAAAUAUCGAUUCCUCGCAUAUUUAUAAAAACAACUUAGAAUCAAGAUCAAACGUUGAUAGCAAUUAACAUUUCAAGUCUAUUUCUAGCACUAAAAUAUGUUAAGUAUUAUUGUUUAGGUCAGAACCAUAAAAAUACUUUUCAGUCAAAUUUAAGAUUCUAGAUUAAGAAUUAUAAGCAAAACAAUGAUACAAAUAAUCAAUGAAGAACAGAAUAUUAUAUUCAGAUAUCACCUCAAUACAUAAGAGUUUGAACAAAUUACUCCCAAUCACAAAAGGUAGAAUUAGCCACACAUCUUCUAACACCUUAUAUUCUCCCAAUUGGGUUACAAGUCACUCAAUGGUGUUUUCCUCUCAAUCUCGCACACUAGGGUUAUGCCUCAAGCCUCCUAUUUAACCUAAUUUGCUUGGGCUUAAGUGACUUCUUGCUUGGAUGCUAAUGGGCUCGCUUGGGCGAGUAAAACGUAAAAAGGCUCAAUGUCUCUGGCGCUAUCUCGCUUGAGUGAGAUCCACUGGUAGAAAGAUGGUCUUUUGCACGUUUAGGCAGCUUUGGUGAAUGUUGAUGCAUUCCAACUUUCUCUUUUUAGCUUUGUAUAUUUUCUUUUUGCCCAAUUAUCUCCAUUAUUCCCUAGAAACCUAGAAUUAACACAAAUUUGAGAAUAAAAUGUUCUUAUUCAAUUUAAAAUCACAAAAUAUGUAAAAAGGUAUAAAUUCAUAAAUUAGGGGUUAUUUUAUAUUUAUUUAGCAAUUAAUACUCAUAAGUGCCUAUAUUUUAAUAUGAAAUAUUACUGAAAUUUGGCACUUAUCAGUGGGAAAUGAUGUAACCCUGACAUGCAUUAUGUAGUUAUGGUAUCUCAAGAUAUUCUUCAUUACAUACGCAAUGCACAUUUUCACGCAUGCAUGACUUGUUACUGUCAUUAUGAACAUGUGUUGACCAGAAGUGACCUUGGAUAUGAUGUAAUAAUGACAUGUAUUGGGUGGUUAGGGUGGGUCAGACACGUGUCAUCGCAUAUGCAAUGCAAGUUGUCAUGCAUGCAACAUUUGAACAUCACUGGGAAUGUGAAGAUCACAUAUGAGUUUGGACAGGAUGUAACCCUAACAUGUAGUGGGUGGUUGGGGUGACUAAAGACACUUGUUAUCAGAUACACAACGCACAUUGUCACGCAUGCAACACUUGUCAACGUCAUUGGGAACAACCUACCAAAAGUGACCUUGGAUGAGAUGUGUACACUAUAAAUUGAACCAUAUAACAAAUUGAUGCCUAAAAAACAAAACAAUUCAUCCUUAGAAAACCCAAUCAAAUACCAUCCUCUCCAAAACAUCAAUACUCUUCUUUACUCAUCUUCAAAUGGAACACUUUCGCAUGAUUGAGACUCUCCAAAACAUCAAUACUCUUCUUUACUCAUCUUCAAAUGGAACACUUUCGCAUGAUUGAGACUGAGAAUGAUUAUUAUUCCAUAAAUUUUUCUUAUUUACAUAUUUUUCUAAUUUAAAUUUCUUUAAAAUAGAUGUACGUGUAAAUAAUUUUUUAAAAAAAUAUUUACUUGUUUAAGUUAAUAUAUUAAAUACACUUUUUUUAAAAUAAAUCUAUUUUUUACAUAAAAAAUUCCAAACCUAUUGUUUUUAAGAAAAACAAAAUAUUUUCUUCAAAAGUUUCUUUCUCCCAUUUUUUUAAACGAAAAAGAAAAAAAAAUCCAAUUCGUAAUUUGAUUCCCCAAGAAUGAAACUUCGACUAAUUUUCCGACCAGCCUCCAUGCAUUCCUCAAUUCAAAUUCAACUUCCCGAUGAAGGAAUUUUGAACCAGCAAAAUAAACUGUUAUUUAUAUAAACAAAAGGUAUAGACUUAUUUACAAUAUUUUUACACUUUUAUUUCACUAUCUAAUAUCCUUUUGUUUUUUGUUUUUAUUUCUCUAUGUAGCACCCUUUUGGUUUUAUUUUUCUAUUUAACAUCAUUUCAAAAGUAAAAAAAAAAAAUUAAAAAAAAUGAUAAUUCUAAUUUUGAAUGCAUUAAAAAAAUAAAUAUUUUUAACGCUUAAAAUAGUUAUAAAAUAUAAUUAAUGAAUAAAGAAAUGAGUUUUUACAAAAUAAAAAUAAAAAAUUAAUAAAUUAAAAAUAUCUAGUUUAAUUUUUUUUAAGAAUGAAGAAAAUAAAAAAUUAAACCCUACAACAACAUAAAAGUUGAAUCUAUAAACAUAAAUUAAUAUUUAUUUUUAUUAUUAUUGAUGAUGUAAUCAUGUUAAUUUAAAGUAGAAAAUACAUGAUAUAAUUAUAAAAGAACGUGUCCCAACAUUAUUGGAUCUUUCACUCCUCGUCAUUAAUUAUGUUUCAUUUCGCACAAACUAUUUAUUGUACUACUGAAGAAAAUAUUAAAUGGAUGAUCAUCUCUCAUUUAUUUUCCUUUUUAUGAUCAACAUAUAUUUAUAUAGUAUCGUGUAUAUCUCUGAUCUCUAUCUUGUUUUGUUUUGUUUUUAUUUUUUAUAUGUAUUAUCUUUAUCUUAUUUUGUUUUGCAUUUAUUUUAUAUCUUUUAUGUUUUUAAUUAUUAUUUUUUUCUACCAUUCUUUAUUUAUUUCUGUUUUUAUUUUUAUUGUUGCUGUUUUUAUUUUCUAUAUUUAUUUAUUUUUGUAUUUUUUUCUUCUAAUUUUUAAGAAUUAAGUGUAACAUUUGCAUUAGUUUUUUUUUUAGGAUUUUGCAUUUAGGGUAGACACUUCAAUAUUAUCUGUGUCCACUACUAAUUAAUACUAAUUGACUUUGUUUUUUUUUAUAAUUAUGUCAUGUAUUUUUUACUUGAAAUUAACAUGAUUACAUAUUAAUAAAAUAAAAAUAAAUACUAAUUUAUGUUUAUAGAUUCAACUGUUGUUGCAGAGUUUUAAUUUUUUAUUUUCAUCAUUCUUACAAAAAAAAUAAAUUUUAAACUAAACAUUUUUUAUUUUUUUUAUUUUGUAAGCACUCAUUUCUUUAUUCAUUGAUUAUAUUUCUAACUAUUUUAAAAAUUAAAAAUAUUUAUUUUUUUUACAAAAAAAAUACAUUUAUUUUUUUAAUGCAUUCAAAAUUAAAAUUAUCAUUUUUUUUUUAAUUUUUUAAUUUCCUUUUUACUUUUGAAACGAUGCUAGAUAAGGAAAUAAAAACAAAAGGGUGAUAGAUAGAGAAAUAAAAACAAAAGGGUGCUAGAUAGGGAAAUAAAAACAAAAGAGUGUUAGACGAGGAAAUAAAAGUGUAAAUAAUAUUAUAUAAGAAAUUGAGUCGCGUAUUGUGCACCUGGGAGAACAAAAUUUCACAAUUUUACUAGUUUGGUGAAAAUUUCUUUCAAAUAUAGUUUUUCUUUUCAUUAAUAACAUUUUUGUUUUAUUAAAACAAUUGAAAAUGAUGGUUUUUACUUAUUUUCAUCUUCUUCUUCUUAUUUUUUUUCUAUUUUUUUUAUUGACUUAGGCUCUAUUUGGAUUGAGGAGGGGGAUUUGUGAGGAGUGGAGGGAGUGGAUUUGUAAGGAUUGGAGAGGAUGUGUGAGGAUAUGUGAGGUUGUUUGGAUUGAGGGAUGAUAGAGUGGAUUUGUGAGGAUGGUUUAUUGUAAGUUUACAAAAUUAUCCUUCUUAUUAAAAAAUAUUUAAAUAAUGAAUUACGAUUUUUUUUUUAGGUUUGAAUUAAUUAAAUAUUUUUAAUAUAUAAUAUCCAUAAUUAUUUAUAUUUUUAAUAAAAAAUUAAAAAAUAUAAAAUAAAAUAUUUUGGUGUUAAAUUAAAAUAAAUUUAUUAAAUACAUUAAAAUUUAUGAAAAUAAUAUUCAUUUGUUACUUUAUAUAAUUAUAUAUAUAUAUAUAUAUAUAUUGUUGAUAUUAUAAUUUUAUUUUAUUAUUUUAUUAUUUAUAAUUAUAUGUUGUUAUUAAUAAUAUAAUUAAAUAUUUUUUAAAUUAUAAAUAAUAAAUAAAUUUAUGUAAUAUUUAAUUUUAUAUAUUAAAAUAAAAUGUAGGCACAAGGGUAUUUUGGUAAAAUGCAACAAUUCUACUAAAUCUUCACAAAUCUCCUCAUUUUGUGAAGAAUGAAAAAAACUCUUCACCCUCUCCCCCAUCCUCUCCCCCACUCUCAAAACCACGGAAACAAACACAAAAAACACCCCCUCCCUCUUUCCUCCUCCCACUUGGAAGCAAACACACCCUUAAUGAUAAUUCUAUCAGCCAAUUCUGUGUUUAAAGUAAAAUUGUUUUAUUUCAUGGCAAAAAUUUUCAUUAUUUAUGUUAUUUUUAAUUUUAUUUGAUAUUUUUUGAAAUGGACAAAAAAGAAUUUUAUUCUAGAAUUGAACAAGUCGUACAUGGGAGUAGGGUCACAAUACGGGUCAAUCUGACUCACCACUGAUCUACUUAGGUUAUACAAACUGAAAUUAGUAAUCCAUCCUAUCAGAAGUUUAAUGUCUAACAAAUUAAAGUGAAUAUCAAUAAUAAUGUAAUGAACAAAAUGAUGUAUAAAAAAAUUAAUGUAAAUAAAGUUCUAUAUAAAAUAUUAACCUAACCAUCACCAAAUUUAAUUUCAAAAGCAUGAUAUUCAUCUCUAAAAAUGCCAAAAAUAAAGAAUGACGGGAUAGCAGGCUAGCCCGCCUUGUCCCACUUAUGGCCCGUCGGGUUAGCGGAUUAGGCGAGCUGGACCAAUACGGGUUGACGAGUUCAAAAAUGGCAGUUUCUUCCUGCACCCCUACAUUUUUCUUCCUGCACCCCACAAAGUGCGCAAAGACAAAAAUGUCGCUAUGUAAACUGUACAUUUUUUUUGUAUUCCGGAUUAUGAAAUCUAGUAAAUUUUCGGAUUGACGCUUCCGGUAAAUUUUUGGAUUGGUGCAUCCGGUAAUCUCCCGGAUUGAUGUUUUCGGCAGUACAUGAAUGAUAGUGUUAAUCCAAAAUAAAAAAUGCAAAACAUCCAUAAUUGAAAAAUCCCUUCCGGAUCCGCCAAUCCGUAAUUCAAAAUAUGCAUUCCGGAUUCAGAAAUCCAUAAUUGAAAAAAAUCAUUCCGGAUCCACCAAUUCGUAAUAUGAAUUAGGCUUCUGGAUUCAGCAAUCUGGAAAUCAAUAAUUUAUGCAAAUUUUGUUUCCGAGACACUCCCUCAUCCAGAAUGCAACAAAUUCACUUCCAGAUUGAUGAAUCCGUAGCACACUCCCAGAUCCCAAAAUUGUGGGGGUCAGUUUCAGAAUUUACAAAAUUGUGGGGGUGCAGGAAGAAAAAUAUAGGAGUGCAGGAAGAAACUGCCUUCAAAAAUUAACUCACCCCGACUAAGAGAUGGUGAACUAGUGGGCGGACUGGUUUAACCCGACCCAUUUUGUCAUUUCUAAUGGACAAUUAAUUCCUGCACUAUAUAACUACCCCCAAUUUCAGUAUGAAAAGAUGACCCUUAAAAUGGGGGUAUAUAUAAAAAUACAUUAUAAAUCUUCUUUUUCAUAACAAAUUUUUUGCAUUGCGGAUGUUUGUUAGGAAUGAGAUUUUGAUUUUUAAUCUCUAUUCCGAAUUUUUAUUUUCAUAACACAAUAAUCUUUUUCAAAUCUAUUUUUUUUGGAAUUUAUUAUUUUAAAUUUCAGAUUUUUAUUUCCAAAAUAAAAGGCAUUUUCAAAAAUUAAAAGUUAUGUAGGAUCACGUUUGCAUCCCUAAUGUGGAGUACUCUUGGAUUGAACUUUUCAAGAAAAACUUUUCUUUCAGUUUCUUUCCUGCACCCCCAUUGAACUGGAACCUACAUCCGUAGAAUUGAGUGAAAUGACCGAAUUGUCCCAUCCAAUUUUCUCUCAAUCCAUUCCGCCACCAGAAGAAAAAACAAGUAAAAAAAAAACUCAUUUUGUAAAGCUUAUAUCAGAACAAAUUUUAUGUAUUUAGAAGAUAUUACAAGAAAAGUUUAUUCUGAAAAUAGUGUUAUAUAAAAUUUAUUCUAAAAUUUCUAUUUAAAAAAAAAAUGAAAACAAUCCUUUUGAAAACUGUGGGAUUGGAGGAAGAAAACUCCCUUUCUUUUUCUGAUGCCAAACUCUCUCUUUUUGUCCUGCUCACAAUUCACACAACACAAUAAUUAAUAUUUCACCAUCUUCUCAGAAACACCUUACUUGACUUUUUUUCCCUCUUUUUGUUCUCUGCCUAGCUAUAUGCCCGUGUAAGAAGAACAACAAAGAAGCCAUUCAAAAGGGAAGAAUGUGGGAUCUCAAUGACUCUCCCGAUCAGAGGAAGAACUACCAAUAUGAAGGUUGCUCUUCAUCGCGGAAUGACGAUAAAGGCAAGAGAGUGGGAAGUUCCUAUCCCGUGGUCCUCCAAGAUGAAUUGGAAGAAAAAGAUAGUGACAAGGAUGGAAGCAGAACAUUGGAGAAAAAAACCAUUAAAAUAUUCGGCUCUUCAAUUACACACCAACACACUCACCACCUACCCGUCACCCGCCAGUUUUUUCCGGUCAAGGAUUCCGACCUUCCUGUCUCCGAAGCCGCCGCCGGCCCAAGCUCUUCCUUCCCUCGUGCUCACUGGGUAGGCGCCAAAUCUUGUCAGUCGGAAACUCUUGGCACCGGUAAAUCAGUGAAAUUGUGGGAGAAGAUGAAGAAAAGGCAAGCACGAGCACCACCAUCGGGAAACUUACAGUAUCGUGGAGUUACCUUUAACAGAAGAACCGGUCGAUGGGAGUCUCAUAUAUGGUUGGUGCUGUGCGAAUUUAUUCAAAGAAUUUCUAACAAUUUCUCAAAGGUGUGAUAUUGAUUCCUUUGGUUGUGGUUGUCAUUGGUGGUGCAGGGAUUGUGGAAAGCAAGUGUAUUUGGGUAAGUAUUAUAUUAAGGUGAAAGGAUUUCAUAUGUGGUAGUUUUUGUUGUAAACAGUGUGCAUAUUUUAUCAUGUUUCGUUGUGGAUACGAAUUGGGAGGAAGACAAGAGUGUAUUGUGGGGGAGAUUUGAAGUGAUGACUGAUGAGAUAGUUUUUUCUGGGUAAAAUUGUGUAGGUGGAUUUGACUCAGCACAUGCAGCUGCUCGGUGAGCACUUGCUCCUUCUCCUCCUAUUUUUUACCCAGAUUCUAACAUACAAUUUCGUUUCUUGAAAAUUAAAUACAAGGUUGGAAUUAAUAAAAAGCAUGCAUUUGUUUAUGUAUCUGUUCAGUGCGUAUGAUAGAGGGACCAUUAAGUUCCGGGGGGUGGACGCAGAUAUCAACUUCAACAUAAAAGACUAUGAAGAAGAGAUGAAGAAGGUGGGUCAUUAAGAGGGUGGAAGAGAUUCUGUACAAACUUGUUUAUCUUAUCUAGAACAAUCGAGGGAUUCCUUAUCUCCUACACCUCUUUAUAGUACUAUUUUAUCUGUCUUGGAUUGUUAUGGUGAGUCGGCUAAUCAAUGUUAUGUUAUUAUAAUAAUAGUUGAUCAAUUUUACCAAGGAAGAGUUUGUGCACCUACUUCAGCAAAGCACUGGAUUUCCGGAAGGAAGCUCCAAAUAUAGAGGUGUAACUUUGCACAACUGUGGAAAAUGGAAGGCUCAAUUUUCGGCCAAAAAGUUAGGACCUUUAUCCUCUAUUAUAUGUAUUUUGUACAUCAUGUAUUCUUGUGUAUGGCUUGUUCAUGCUGUGACAAAAUUAAUUUGAUUUGAUUUGAUUUGAUUCACCAGCUGCGUUUAUGUGGGUCUGUUUGACACCGAGAUUGAAGCUGCAAGGUAUCUACUUUAUUUACAUCUCAAUUUGAUGUUUCUCCCUUCCAAUUCCACUAUUGCCCACCUUGUAGAAAGUCGGCAAGAAUACGGACGCAUGCUAGGGUUUUGACAUUUUUUGCACAUUUUGUAAAUAGGGCAUAUGACGAAGAGGCAACAAGAUGCAUCGGCGAAGAGGCUGUCACCAAUUUUGAUCCAGCAUCUAUGAUAAAUGUUGUCGACGAAAGGUCUAUUUUCUUGACUUCCCGACCAAAACAUUCGUCUCUGUUCACUAUAAUCAAUUCAUAUUAUGUCUCAUUAUACUCUGGAUUCAUAUAUUAAUAGUAACCUUAAUGAUUCAGAGAAAUUUCCGGGAUUCAGUCAUUAAACAAGAAAUAACCAAGUCUUAGGUUACCCAAGAUAUAGACUCGUCCUACGCCCAUCGAGCUCCCAACAUUUUUUGUGAAAAAACACUUAGUCAAAAAUCUACCUUGGACUUUACUCUAACCAUAUAAAUCACAUAGAUUAAAACAUCAAAUGAUGAGAAGUUAGAUCAAGUUCUUGUACCACUUUUAUAGUUAUUUAUGCAAUAAACUUAUCUUGACUUAUGAAGUUGAGGUUCGUGUGUAGACCAAAAAUGCUUAAAAUGAGUUAGAUGUUAGUAUCUGAUAAGACACAAAAUACAAAGUCUUUUAGAUGAUAUUUAGUUGUUAUUUUGUAUUCACUGGGGUUAAGGUUUUUAUACCCUUUUAUUUAAAUGGAUCAAAUAAAUUUGGCCAAAUAGGAUUUGAUUUAGUUGUUUGAGAUCGUAAAUUCUCUCUGGGUAUUAUAUUGACCAUAACUUCUUGAUAACUCAGUCUUGUGUUUUUUAUAUUGUUUUACUAUAAAUUGUCCUGAGAUAUGAACAAAAGGAUGAUAUUAUAGAAGAAAUCAAACUUCGCUUCAUUUUCUCUUCCAAAAUAGAUAUACCUCCUUAAUCCCAUCAAAUUAAACCCAUUAUCCCCUCCCUGCAAAACCCAUUCCCCCUCCUAAUAAAAGUUUAUUCCUGCCCUACUCACCCAAAAUUCAUCCAACUACCAACUUAGUAUCCCUAAACUCAUCUCGAAACUCACUACUAUACCUCUCAUACGAAAAACUAUUUAUUUCUCCUAUUCCAAAACUCAUCUUCCUCUCAUCCUUAUACUACAAAAACAAAAACAAUGCCAAAAGAAUGUGUUACAACACUUCCCCACUUCUACAAUACCUUGCUCCCACCAAAUGUUGUUCCCUUUACCAUAUAUUUUGUGGUUUUUGUUCUACAAGAUAUAUCUCUCUCAGGCACCUCACUUCAUAUAUGAUUUUACAACAUCAUUUCUUCAUAUAUAUCUACAUAUAAAUGAUCUCUAAUCAGUGUUUUGAUUGUUUUUGUUGACAUCUCUUAAUAUCUAUCUGUGACUAAAACAAAUCUAAAUUGAGGGAUGAGAUUUCUAACUAGAUGAGGUUUUAAAAAAAUAACAUCGAUCAGACAUAAUUAAUGUAGAAAGGACAAGGUCAAACUGAUAUAAGAAGCAUUGUAGAAUUUUUGUGUGUUUCAAACUUAUUUCAGUCAUAUAAGAGAAAACGUAUCCCUUUGGAGAAAGCAUUUUACAAGAUUGUCAUCUAUCAAAGAGGUUGUUCAUGUUUAAAUCAAGAUCUCAAAUCCUUAUACUCCUAUUUAAUUCUUGUACCGGUACCGGGCGAGACUGGGACCCAUCUGGCUGCCCGAUGCCCAGUCAAUCUGCCCGAGUGACCGAAGGUCGAGACCCCUUGAAGACUUGGCCGAGGGCCGAGACCUUUUGGAGACUUGGCCGAGCGACCGAGACCGUUGAAGACUCAACUGAGAUGGCCGAAGGCCACGGGUAUUUGGCCGAUGGCCGGCCCUCACCAUGAGAAUUUUUGGCCGAAGGCCGAGCCCCAUUACAAUUAACGCUCAAACCAAGAUCAGUGAAGCUAAUCCAUCACCAAGAAUUAGGUAAUGCAACCCUAAGCGGUAUCCACCUUGAUAAAUGGGCCCAACAAGGUAGGCCCACUAGAAUAAUAUAAAUAGCACGCAUUUCAAGGAGUAAGGUAUGUCAUUAUUACUGUUCACCUACCUGAGAGCUAACCACCCGCUUUACUGACUUGAGCGUCGGAGUGCCUUCGCAGGUACCCCCACCAUCCGGUGUUCACCCGACGACCGAGUCCCGAGUGCCGAAAGAUAAGCAGAAGGAAGAGAAGGAUCCCAGUUCAUCACCCAGCCACCUGCCCGACCGAAGGAAGGAGAAGAAGACUUCAACAGUUCUCUAGGUCCCAUCUCCCUAGCAGGAACAAUUCUUAUUCUAUUAGAAUAGUACAAUAUUCUAGUACAUUCACCACUCUGGAACGACUAAAACUUGUUCACAAAUUGGCAAGCAUACCAUAAAAGGAUAUGGUAUUUCGAUAUCUAGAGUAUUUAACCAAAGUAAUUUAGGUAAUAAAUGAUAAUUAUGAUAAAUUUACUAAUUAAACUAAUAGAAAUAUGGAUUUUUGAAUAAACAGAAGUAUUUUUAAUAAAAAAAAUUUAUGGCAUUUUAUCGAACAGUUGGCAUGCAAAAAAAGAUAUAAAGAAAUUCAUGAAAAUAGUUGUCAGAGUUAAACAUUUAUAGGAACCUUAGAAAUAACUCUAAACCUUAUUCAUAUCUUUUACAAUUUCAAUUUUCUUGAUGUUAUUAACCUUACUUUCUUAACGAUUAAGGUUGAUUUCUAUACUUAUAUGACCAAUCCCUUAGAAAACCUAAUUAUAUAAAUCUGAGUUAGAAGAGAGGAUUCAAGAAACCUUAAUUUUAUUCCUAGAAAUAAGUGUUCAACAAGUACUACUUCAUAUCUAAAUCAUCAACAUGUUUUCCAGCAUAUUUAGUUCAUGACUAUUUGAUAAUUAGACCAAAACGGAAUUGAAAGCAUGGAAAAUGAAAUAAUUGUAUUGAAUACAAAUUAAGUUAAAAAUACAACCAAAUUACAUGAUUCAACUCGUACUACAAGUUCAACUCCAAAAUCAAGAACUAGGCAAGGAGGUCUAUGGAGAGAUUACAAAAGAUCAAUGAAAAUUUGAAGAAUAAAUGAAGAUGAGAAGUGAGAGAAUAAUAAAGAAAAAUUGCACUUAGAAGUGUGUACAUAAAAAUGAAAUUUCCACCAAAAUCUCACUUUAAACUAAAAUUUAGCUUUAUUGUCAACUAAGUUGCAAAAACAAAAGAUACAUCUCCUUGGAACACAAAUGACUAACUUCCUUGCAGUCAAUCAAACUUUUUACUUGAAACCAACCUGCAAUUAAAAUUUUCUUUUAUUUUUUUUUACAAAAAGUUAAAAAAUUAUCAAUUCUCUAAAGGGUCUUCUACACAGUUAUUUAUUUACAAACAUUUGCAUACCUUUAAAAACUAAGGAAGAUAAUUGUGUCUAAAAACAAAGGUUAAAAAGACAAUUAUCAAAAACGAAAAUAAAAUUAUUUCCAAAUUUCAAUAUAUAAAGAGAAAAACACUUUUAAUUUUUAUGACUAAAAAAUGUUUAUAAAUUUGGAAGAGUAAAUCAAAUUUUAAAUUGAAGAGAAUAAAAGCAUCAAAUUUAAACUUACGGGGAACAAAAAUAUCACUUUUAAAUUUGAAUAACUAUGCAUUAAUUGAUAUAAGUGAUAAUAAUUUAUAUUUCUUAAUUGACAUAACUAAUGAUAUUAUAAUCAUUGUUCACCUUGCUAAUAAUAUCUAUGUCAGCAAAGCAAGUAUAACUAAAUAAUAUCAUCAAUCAGUUUUUCUUUUAUUCUUUUAAGGUCAUCUAAAAGUGUUAUACUAGUUCUUUCUAUUAACUUUUUAAAUAAUUUUAAAAAGCCAAAACAUUAUGAGACUUUUUGCCACAAGAAAACUGAUGCCUUAUUUGGAAACACUCAACAGUCAAGUGUCCAAUAAAUUUAGUGAUUGUUAUACUUCCAUUGGUUGUUGAGGGUGGAGAUAGAAAUGCCCCCAAUUUCUAAAGAGAAUAGAGAAAGCAAACAAUGUGCUUUUUAUUUUCAACCAUAUAACUUCUCUCUUUUAGGCUCAAUUUUUAUCUUUUUUACUCAUUUUUUCAUUCUAUUCUGUUUCUUGUAUUUCCAUAUCUACCUAACUGAACAUUAAUUUCUCUUCCCUUUCACAAACCAAGCUCCACUUAUCUGCUAUUCAUAUCUACCACAAAACAAAGAAAAAAAAAACUCAAAGCUUGAACCUAACAAGUAGAAAUUGAAAAACUUGCUUUUUCCUGAAAGUGAAGCUGUAUCAUCAGUGUCAGCAAAGGAGUUGGCAAUCAAAGAGAUGAUGUACCCAUCUCCAGUUUCUUGUUAGAAAGGUAAUAGGUGAUGUGAUGGAGAAAUAGGGAAAAAAUAUGGGAUGUAAAUAAGAAGGAAAAUGGAUGUAUGAUGAUUAUUUUAGGUAGGAUAAAUCUUUCACGUAAUAUCAUAAAUGUCUGUCUUUUAAUUAGAAUUGAAGUUUCAUUUUAGUGAUCAAGAUAAACUUCAUAUCUAAUUAAAAAUAAUGUCUGAAAUUUUACUUACAUUUGUGAUUUUUGGAUAGUGGAAUGGGAUGUGUACAUAGUGUGUCAUUCUCAUACCAACUAGAUUGCCUGCUGUCAAAUUUGAUGCAUUUUACUCAUUCUUUGUUAUUGAAUGGUUGCUGCAUUAUUAGCUUUUUAUUUUUGACUAAAUUCUUGGCUUAACCAUCAUAAAUAGAAACUGUUACGUGAUGAUGAUAUGAUACUCUUUUCUGCAAUCCUUACCAACAAUUUAGUGUAUAUUUGACAAAGAUUAAAUUUAGGGAAAUAAUCAAAUUUUUUAAACACUCCAAGUCAUUUUGUUCAAUCUUUUAGUAUUGAAAUAACAUGCAAAUUUUUUCUGUUAAAUUAAUAGUCCAUAACACAUGAACCUGCUAACAGGAAUGAUGAAAGAUCAGAUAAUGAGAUGCAGAAUCAGGAGAAUGAGAGUUUGUAUGAUAAAUUUCGAGGCAAAGCAAAGAUUAGUGAUUCUAUAAGUUCAUUGCUCUCAUUAUCAGAAAGUUCUGACAAAGGCUCUGAUUUAUCAAAUUCACACGAUUAUUCCGGUCCCUCAUGAAUUUAUUAUGUAUUCAUUAUGAUAACUAUAAUAAGUUAAUAAGUUAAUGUGCUUUUACAUUUUCAUCCAUAGAUAGUGAUGGAGCUAGAGGAUAAAUUUUUAAUCUCUUUGGAUCAACCUUGGCUGAGACAGAAGGGUCUAUGUUUCAAUGCUGUCAAUGCUUUGAACUUCUUAACUUCGAACCACUCACUCUCUCUGUCAGUUUUGCAAAUCAAAUUAUGAAUAGUUAAGAAAUAAAGUGUAAAUUGAAGAAUCGCAUUCGAUAAAAAUAAAUAAGAUAAAUACAAGUACUUAUAUUUGUUUUGCUAGGAUUCACGAAACAUGUAAGCAUUAUGUCUCCAGUUCCUGACAGACCAGUUACUCUAGUAGGCUUUGCACCCAUCUUCAAGAAACAAAUUGGGGGAAGAGAAACAAGACAAGCAGAACACACGUCAGUUUUGUUGGAGUAUUGGAAACUCUACAUUGAUUGAAUGUAAAUCUUAAAUCGAAGUUGAGUUAAGCUUAGAAUGAUAUCAAAAUCUAUCGUAACAAGAUUUGUUUGGUUUAUCAUGUCAGGUUUAUUAUGUCACCUCCCAUUGGACACUCACAAAUAUCUAAUCACAUGUUCAAAAUAUUCAAUCUUAGACAUGCUUUACAAAUCUCUCAUUAUAAGUUAAGUCAGCCCACUUACAGGAAGAAAAUGUGCAUGUGUACACCAAUGUGGGUGUCUACUAUUAUGUACUUAAGUAAAAUUAAUGUGUUUAAAGUAUCAUAAAAUCGAGACCUCCAACCAUUGAAAUGGCUAUAAACCAUCAGAACUCUAUUCUCCAUACUGUGUUAGCCAUUAUAAGCAUCAUUUACUCUCUGCCUUUAGCAAAUUAGACAUUGCAUUGUGUAUUUCUCCUACAGUUAGUCAGAGUGUUGAUAGUGGACAGAGGAAACCAAUUUAGUCUUCUAUGCAAUGAUUACUCGGAACAGAGAAAGUGAAGGGAAGGGAAGGGACAGUUUCUACCAUGUGCAUGCAAAGAAUUCUAAGAACUGGUUUAAUAGAGGUCAACUACCUUUGUUGCAAGCCACCGUAUCUCUGAACAGCCUUGCGAGACAAGAGCUGCCAUUGAGUUAUUACUUACCAAGAUUCAUACCUUCUACUAUCCCAGCUGCUAUUACAAGCACAUUCUUGAGUGCACCAGCUAUUUCAACUCCUGUAACAUCACUGGAGUUAUCAGAGAUUACAAACUGAACAUUUGCACCAAUAUCUGUAGUCAUGCAACAUACCAUACAUAAAACAAACAGAGGGUAGGACAUAAUAAAAGUAGGGGAGAAAGUGUAAACUAAAGAGAACUACAAAAAAUCCAGACAAAAACAAAUCAUUGACAUAUGAGAUUCAAUUUCAUGGAUGAAUCUUGUGAAGGUCAUCUACCUUGAUGUUCUUUUGACGCCACCACCAUUGCUGUUAUUAGAAAAUGGAACCAAAAGAGAAAAUGGACUUUUACAAAUGUCAAAAUGCUGAGAGUCAUCAUACGUAUUGUAUUUGACAGCAAAGAUUCAAACUUAAUGAAGCAUCAAUUACUACUACUAUUAACUGUUAACAAGUAUGAAUAAACUUAAUGUUGUGUCAUAUAUUUCCUCUAUUACUAUACUGCUAUGAUACAUAUGUAGAAACCCUACUUAACCAUUUUGAAGUAUUGCAUGUCUUAUAUAUAGAGACUACUCAGUAGUAAAAUUUUAGUUUACUCUUUUCCUGUACUGCAAGUCAGAAUAACAUACCCUUUGUAUCUCACAAUGAUUUAGUGGGUUAAUUAAUAUUUUCAAUAGAAUGAAUAAAGAAAAUUAUUAUUUCUAUAUAUUAAAUAUUCAAAUUUAAUUGUAAAUAUUUACUAUUUAAAUUAUAUUUUAUUAUACAUUUCUAUCCUUUAAACAAUGUAAUAUAAAAAUAAUUUUAAUAAAUCGUUUUAAUAUUUUAUACAUGUAAUAUAAAAACAAAAAAAUAGCAUAUGUUGUAUUUCUCAUGAACUUGACAGGCUCAAUAUUUUAUUUCAGACUGCCUUACUGCACCUCCAUCACUUUCACUUCUUCGGCCACCUACAUAAAUUUUUAAAUUCCCAAAAUUACCUUUCAAUAAAACAUAAAAAUAGAAACAAUAUUUUACGCUAUGAAUUAUAUAAUCCGAAAAUAAAAAAUUAUAACUUUUGGAUUAUGUAAUCCAAAACCUAUUUAACAACACAUAAUACCAGAUUACAUACUCCGAAAUUUAUUUAACAAAAUAAACCUACUAGAUUACGUAAUUAAGAAGUAAAAAAUUAUCACUUUUGAAUUACGUAAUUCAAUAUUGUUAGUUUUUAAUUUUUGACUUUUAGAUUACGUAAUUCAGAAGUGGUAAUUUUUUACUUUUGGAUUACAUAAUCUGGAAGUGAUAAUUUUUUACUUCUGGAUUACGUAAUCCAGAAACUUCUAGAUAACAUAAUCUGGUAGAUUUAUUUUUUAAAAUAAGUUAUGAAUUACUAUUGUGAGUUGUUAAAUAGGUUAUGGAUUACGUAAUCUAGAAGUUGUAAUUUUUUACUUGGAAGUUGUAAUUUUUGACUUUCAGAUUACAUAAUUCACAAUGUAAAACAUUGUUUCUAUUUUUUUUUUUUACUAAAGGAUAAUUUUGAAAAUUUUAAAAUUUAUGGAUGUGGGCUGAAGAAGUAAUGAAGAAGCAAUCUAUUUCAUCAUACCAAAUUGCUAGCACACCUGCUAAGUUCAACCCAUGUUUGUCAUUCUUAUUUAGAAACAGUUGAACAAAUAAGUUAAGAAAAAAAAACAUUAAAAAUAAAAGAAAAAUAUUUUAUGGGAAAAUAAAAUAAAAACUAUUUUAAAUAUUUAGUUUAAAUUUUAAAUAUAAUUAAUUUUAUUACUAGCAGAAAGAUAAACAUUGACAUGUGUGCAUCCAGAUUUUUUUACUAUCUUAUUUUAAUAAGUUAGUAUUUGAUAUUUAUAUUAAUUUUAUUUUAUGUAUUCAUUUAAAUAAAUAAAAAAUUAUUAUUUUUAUAUUUAAUGUGUUAAUUAUAAUUUGAAUAAAAUUAAUAUGGCAGGAGUAAUAAUAUUUGAAUAUUUAUUAGGAAAUAUAGAUGUGUAAGAUAAUUUGAAAUGAUUCAAUAAUAUAUAUUCUUUGGGAAUUGAAAAUGGAUAAAAGAAGCGUGGCAUUUUAUCUUACUCAAAGAUACCCAAAUCUCUGGCAAAGUCUCUCAGUGUGAAGCUUUAACAAUGGCGGCAGUGUUGGAAGCGCUAUUGGCAACUCCAUUGUUUUCUUCAAAGCCUCACAACACUAAUUCCCCUCCCAACUUCCACACUUUUCCUUCUAAACCCAUUCUUCUCACCCUUCGCAAUACGCACUCUCAUUCUUGUCUCGCAAAUGCUUCUCCUCCUCAACACCCGGCCCCAGCUUCCCUCCCUCAACCCGACCCGAAUCGUGACCGCCGGAGAAUCGUCCGGGUCGCCUGGGAGAAAAUCCUCCGCUGGUCCAGGUCUUGGCGCUCCAAGGCCAACACUGACAUCCUCCAACGCACCAAUAAGGUCGCAAUUUAUUUCAGAUUAUGAUUGAAUCAAAUAAAAGAAACUGUCACACACAUUUUGGUUUAUCGCUUCAUUGUGUUCAAUUACUGUUUCAGAUUUUUGUGAACCACUGCAUCUCAUGCUAUAUCUGAUAGAAUACUUCAGCCAAUUUACCAGCUCCUUUGGAGCAUAGUUGAUUAUAGUUGUAAGCUUAUUGAAAAUGAUUGAAUUAAUAAUAAAGAAGAGGAUUAAUUAAGUUUUAACUUUCUUUGUUAUUUUCAAUUCAAUUAUCUAAGGUUUUUUUUAUUUUCUUGUAACUAACUUAUCAUAUAGUCCUUCUUAUUUCCAUCUUCUUGUGUUUAACGUGCUGAAUCAACUCAUUAAAAAAACCUAUAUUUAUGAUGUAAUUAAAACGUAAUUAAGUCUAAUAAAGAAAAUAUAGCAAAUAUUUACUCUCUUCUAGUGAUUGUAUGUCUGAAUGUUGAUAACAUGAUAUGGUGUUUGCGAGUUUCGUUUUGGUGUUUUGUGUGGUAGUGGUGCUGAGAGAUUUGUUUUUUGGGUGAAAAAAGGUGGUUGUGCUUGGAGGGGGUUCGUUUGGGACGGCAAUGGCUGCACAUGUGGCAAACAGAAAGGCUGAGUUAGAGGUGAAUAUGCUUGUUCGGGACCCUCAAGUUUGCUUGUCUAUCAAUGAGAACCAUUUUAAUUGGUAACCUUUUUUUGUCUGUGCUCAUAGUCUGCACUAGUACAGGUUAACUUGUGAGUUGUAGUAAUCUAAUUUUGUUAUCUGUAUCUCUCUUAGGUGACUGUUUUUGUAUUCUUUUCUUGGGCAGUAAGUACUUUCCAGACCAUAGGCUGCCAGAAAAUGUAGUUGCCACGACUGAUGCCAAAUCUGCUUUGCUUGGUGCUGAUUACUGUCUCCAUGCCGUACCUGUUCAGGUCAUUUCAUUUUUAUGAUUAUUUUUUACUUUGUCAAUUUGCGUAUUAGUAGUAGGAAAGUAAGUAGGUCUUUGGGUAAACUUCUCUCCAUAAACUUGUUUUUUAUUUACAAUAAUUGAACAUGAGUAUAAGGAGGUUGACGCUAACUUACAUAUUCAACUAACAUCACUACUUUGUUACAUACAGAAAAAGAAAAUAAAAGACAAUGAAUCAAGCCUUUUUUGGUUCGUUAAAAUCAAUGACAUAGUGGUUUGAAUUGAAUUCUUCAGAAAUACACGUAGAAGACUAAAAUAGAAAAAAUAAUCAAAAUUUGAUUUUAUUCUGAAGUUAAAAUCAAUGUAUUUUUUAAAAGCUAGAGGAAAGGAUUCUUUUAGAAGAGGAAGUGCAUAAAUUGAUCUCAACUUAUGAUAACUCUUGACAUUUGUAAAAGAUAUGACUGUCUAAUUGUUUGUUUCUGUUAUUGCAGUUCAGUGCAUCUUUUCUCGAGAGUGUUGCAGAGUAUGUUGAUCCAGGCUUGCCAUUCAUUUCUCUGAGUAAAGGCCUAGAGCUGAAUACACUGAGGAUGAUGGCUCAAAUUAUUCCUCAAGCACUACGAAAUCCUCGCCAGCCUUUUGUUGCACUAUCUGGGCCUUCUUUUGCUCUGGAAUUGAUGGAUAAGCUACCCACAGGUGACAAUGAUGUUGCUACAUGUGUGUGCACAUUUUGUUUCUUUGAUGGUAUCUAUGAUGAAAGUCAGUCCAUUUUGUCUUUUGGUUCCAUUUUAUAAUAACAGCAAUGGUGGUGGCGUCAAAAGAUAAAAAAUUGGCUAAUACAGUUCAGCAACUACUAGCUUCAAGUCAUCUAAGAAUCAGCACAUCAAGGUAGAUGACCUUCACUAGAUUCAUACAUGAAAUUGAAUUUCAUAUGAAAAUGAUUUGUUUUUGUCUGGAUUUUUUGUAGUUCUCUUUAGUUUACACUUUCUCCCCUACUUUUAUUAUGUCCUAGCCUCUGUUUUAUGUAUGGUAUGUUGCAUAACUACUGAUAUUGGUGCAAAUGUUCAGCUUGUAAUCUCUGAUAACUCCAGUGAUGUUACAGGAGUUGAAAUAGCUGGUGCACUCAAGAAUGUGCUUGCAAUAGCAGCUGGGAUAGUAGAAGGUAUGAAUCUUGGUAAUAACUCAAUGGCUGCUCUUGUCUCACAAGGCUGUUCAGAGAUACGGUGGCUUGCAACAAAGGUAAUUGACCCCUAUUAAAACGGUUCUUUGAAUUCUUUGCACAUGGUAGAAAGUUUCUAGAAACUCUUCCUUCCCUUUCUCUAUGCCAAGUAAUCAUUUCAUACAGGACUAAAUUGGUUUCCUCUUAAAUGGCUGUCUAUUAUCAACACUCUGACUAACUGUAGGAGCAAUACUUAAUGCAAUGUCUAAUUUGCUAAAUGAAGAGAGUAAAUGAUGAAUAUAAUGGCUAACACAGUUUGGAGAACAGAAUUCUGAUGGUUUAUAGCCAUGUCAAUGGUUGGAGGUCUCGGUUUUGAUGAUACUUUAUAUUAAUUUUACUUAAGUACAUAAUAGUAGACACCCACAUUGUUCUUGUAAGUGGGUUUGACUUAACUUUCAAUAAGAGAUUUCCAACACAUGCUUUUGUGUCAAUGAUUGAAUAUUUUGAACGUGUGAUUAGAAAUUUAUGGGUGUCCAAUGGAAGGUGACUUGAUAAACCGAACAAACCUUGUUAAAAUAGCUUUUGAUAUCAUUUUAAAAAGAUACUUUACUUUAAGCUUAAAUCAACUUCAUCUUAAGGUUUACACUCAUAUGUAAUUUAAUCAUAUCUCCAAUGUAGAGUUUCCAAUACUCCAACAAAACUGACGUGUGUUCUGCUUCUGCUUGUCUUGUUUCUCUUCCCUCAAAUUGUUUCUUGAAGAUGGGUGCAAAGCCUACUACAAUAACUGGUCUGUCAGGAACUGGAGACAUAAUGCUUACAUGUUUCGUGAAUCUUUCAAGAAACAGAACAGUUGGUGUGCGGCUUGGAUCAGGUGAGAAGCUUGAGAACAUACUCAGUUCCAUGAAUCAGGUAUCUAAGAAGUUUCCAACUGAUCAUUCUUAAAUUUCUAGCAAGUGGCAUAGUUUCUAAAAUGAUUAUCUUAUCUUAUUCUGCAGGUAGCAGAAGGUGUCUCCACAGCCGGAGCUGUGAUUGCUUUGGCGCAGAAAUAUAAUGUAAAGAUGCCAGUCUUGACAGCAGUUGCUCGUAUUAUUGAUAAUGAACUUACUCCUAAGAAAGCUGUGUUUGAGUUAAUGAGCCUCCCUCAGGUUAUUCUCACCCUCCUUUAAGACCAACUCUAUUCUUUUUUAAUAUUGAGAUUACACAUUUGAUUGAUGACUAAUUUUGAUUAUAGGUUGAAGAAGUAUGAAAGCUUCCAGCACAUCCCUUACUACCAGCUGCUUUUUAACUGCUGCUUAUAAGAAAUUCAUGUACUCAAUUCUUUUCACCAUUGUGCUUCUAGUGCUGAAGUCUUGGUGACCAAAAUUUUGAACAUUCUGGGUUGUUGCCCCAUACAGUCAUUAGAUUCUAGAUAAUGCAAAUCUCACCUCAAUAUAUACUUCUAUACGAUGACUAUACUUGGAGCCACAAAUUUGCAUCACUCUCAUCAAUGCCAUUUGUUUGUGCAACUAUCCCUUUGAUAUGAAUGGGUUUUACUAGCUUCUUUGCCCAAGUUGGUGAUUUUUUCUUGACUUUACACUAAGUGUACGGUAAGCACUUGUAAUCAUUAGGUCAAAACAGUUCUAAUGAGGUCCAACUUUCUCUAUUUUAAGAGUUUAAUAGUUUAAAGUAUCACAAUUUGAUAAUAAUUUGGUCUAUCUGACCUAUAGCACAUCAUGCAAUAAACUCUCUUUCAAUAUUAUUCCACUAGAAUCAAACUCUUCAAUUUUCACUUAUUUCACUUAAUCUAAGUUGUAGAACAUUUAAUGCAGUCUAUAACAAUCUUCUCUUUUUCAAAUAGAUCAAAAUUUUAAAAUAGAUAUUAUUGUUUUAUAUUUACUCAGAAAAUUAUUAUAUUUUUUAUUUACUUGUCCUUCUAAAAAGAACUCAGGCUUAUAGACAUGGAGUCAAAGUUUACACACCACAAUAGUGUAAUAAAUUAAACUAUAUAUCAGUUGUUAUUCAAAACCAUAAGUUUAUAUAAUACAUAACUACUUUACCUAACGACCAUUAAUAACCAGAACUAUUGUUUUUCUAAUUAUCCGUAAGAAGAAAUCAGGCUAAUAUUAUAUCUUAAGUCAGAGCUUUAUCAGAAUUGAAUUUUAAACAUUUUAUUGUCUUGUUUCUUUAUUUUUCAAUUUAGUUUUCUUACUCUUAGAUUCUUCUCCUUUAUUUUACGCACUAAUAACAUAAAAAAAAAUAAUACUUUAGUAGCUGUAUAAAAUUCGUAUGUACUUACUAUUUCGGAAAAAAAAAUUAUAAUCUGACAUUUAUUGCUCUCUGUCACAAAAUAAGAUCUGGGGGUUGUAACUUUAUCAGCAACAAUUAAUAUGUUUGGUAGUAAACUUAAUGAUAGAAUAUAAUAUAAGUAAUGUUUCACUGACUUUUCACUACAGUUACAUAUAAUUUUCUAAAAUUAAAUUUUAAUUUAUACUUUUUGCAUCACUUAUCGACUUCCAUUUAUCCAACUUAGAUUUAUUAAUAUGUAAUAGAAGAAUUUGAUUUAUCUUAAAUAUUCUCAUUUUUUACUAUAAAAGGUAUGAUGUUAUCUCGUUCAAGAUGAUUUUUUUGUUAUAUUUCAUUAGUAUAUCAAUUUUAAUUUUACAUAUUAAUUUAAUUAAAAUUGAAUAACAAUUUUUUUUUAUAAUAUUAAAUAAAUUUCUAAUCCAAUGUAAAACAUCAAUUAUUUUUACUACACUGUUAAUAUUAAAUUUAAAUCUUAAUUUUCUAAAUAAAUUAUAAAUUUUAUUUUUAAUAUUAAUCUAAAAUUGUAAUAAAAACUAAGAUUUUAUUUUAAAUUAUAACCUUAAUAUUAAUAUUAAAUUUACAAUCUGUAAAAAUAUAUAAAAAAACUAUUAUUAAUAAAUAGUUUCUAAAUUGAUAUUUAAUUAGCUAUCAAAAUUUUAAUAUCAACUAAUUAGAUUGUAAAGUUGGUAGCUAAAAUGUUUCACAAUCAAACAUUUACACACAAAUACACUUACCACAUAGAUAAUCUGAAGAUAAAUGUCUAUUAAAAGUCACUAUGUUAUCACUUGAACGAGUAACUAUCGCUUAAGCGACAUAAUUCAUUAAAAUACAAUAAUACAUAAUUCAUUAAAAUACAAUAAUAUUACACUAAUGCUUGAGUGAUAUAUAUUUGAAGGAGAGAGAUUUGAAAUUUUCUCAUUUUAACUACAAGCAUGUCGCUUAAGCAACAACUUAUAUUAUUUAUGUGAUAGAGAUAAUACUUGAGUGAUGAGACUCUUUGUGUAUGUUAUAAGUUUUUCUAGAACUUCAUCAUAACACUAGCCUUUCAUCGAUCAAGUGACUAAAUAUCUAAGUUCUAUAAGAGAGAGACUUAAGUGACUAAGUAAAUUUUUAAACAACCAAGAGAUACUUAGUGUUCUACAUAUAACAACAGUUUAACGCAACAAAUUUUAUUCCACCUUAUACAACAUAUUAACUCAAAUUUAAUUAAAAUAUACUUAAUUAAUUAGUUCUCUUACCUUCCUACUUGUUCUCUUUAGGAGUUUAUAAAAAAAACUUAAAAAAGUUAUAGAAAGCUUAAUUUCUUUUAUCCUUUAAUUCACAAACCAAACAUAUUAUUAAGUAAAUAGUUAAAAAUUUAUCUAUUUAACUUUCACAUCACAAACGGUACAAAAACUCUCACCUCCAAUAAAAAAAAAAAACUUGAGAUAAAAAAGAAAGAAAAAAACUUGUUCGAAAUAAAAUUUUGAUUAGUCAAACUUCUUUCUCACUUCAUCGUCUUACAAGUAUUAUCUGAUCAUAAAAAAUAAUUGGUCCAAAAAAAAUUUAAAAAUAGAAAAAAUAAUAAACAAGUCUUAUAAAUAAUUAACCAAAAAAUUAAGAUUUUAUAUAUAAAGUCAACAUGACUCAAAAUUUUGGCAUUUAUUGUUUUAAAAUCAUUAAUACUAAAUAUAAAACCUAGUCUUAAAUAAAAGUAAAAUAAAAUAUUAUUAUUAAUAAAAAAAUAAUAUUUCAUUAUUUAUAUUUUUAUUAUUCAUAUGUAAAUAAUACAAAAUCAGAAUGGUAAUGGUUAGUUAUGUAAUUAAAUAUAGUCAUUAUAAUGUACAUAGUAUUUGUAGUUUUAUUGAAAGGAAGUUCUACCCAAGGAAUUGUCUCCUUCAGACACCAUUUUCUCUACACAAACCAUCGUAUUCAUUUGUAGUCACCAUCUACUCUCACAUUUUCGCUUUGAUUUUUCUAUGAUUGUGUUUUUCCUUUUUUUGUUUUCUAUUGUUCUUGAUUUACGUAGAAACUGGGUGGGGGUUUCUAGAAGGAGCACGAUAGCAGAAGAAAAGACCAAGAAAAGAAGAGAAAGGGAAAGAAAAAGAAAACACCAAAGAACUGGAAGAAUAAAUGACUUGGUUCUGUCGAUUAUUUUAUUUAUAACAUUAUAAAAAAUGUAUUUUUUUGAAUUCUUCAACUCGUUGGAACAUAAUUAUUUUUGUGAAAUAUUUACAUAUGAUCAUUUUAAAAUGUUAUCAAAAGGCACAUCUUGUUACCUUUUUAGUGUUGUUUUUAAUUAAAAUACGAAUUUUAUUUCAAUAAUUUGCAUGGUAAAACUUGUAUUAGAUAUUAAUGUAGAUAAAUGCAAUAAACUUUAAUUCUGAUCAGAUUACAAGAUUACCUAAAUUACAUAGAAUUUGGGAAAUUAUUAUGGUGGUGUAUGAUUAGUCUAAUAAGUAUUUUUUUUUAUCUACACUGAAUAAACUAAAUUAAAUUGAUACUUUAGGGUUUAGGGGUCAAAUGAGAAAAUCGGAGAGCCUCAAUAAGUUUUGAGGAUAGACCCCUUUGUUUUACACCGAGAAGAAAUCAUCAACUCGUAUACAAAAAUCAAGAAGUUCACACUCCCUUAUAGCUUAGAACAAUACAAGACAUUCCUAGACCACAUUCAUAUAUUUUUAUCAAUAAUCCUCAACACCUAUACAACCAGGUUAACUACACUAAGUGCUAGAAUAAUAAAGACUCAAAAAGAAAAACUGAUACAAUAGGUGCAUAAAGUGAUCACCCAAUUUGUACUUGUAUAAUUUGUCCUACAUUCAGUAUAUAAAGGUAGUCAUGUACCAUUCUGUUGUUCCUUCAUAUAUAUACGUGUGCCUACACAAUAAAUCAGCUUUUUUUAAAGGUCAGAAUUUGCAAUAUUAUGCAUAGAGCAGCUCCAAAAUAAUGGCCCUUGUAGCAUUAUCACCAAUGUCCACUACACGACCUUUUCUUCCUCUUUCAUAAGCUCUCAUAUCCUUUAAACUAUGACUUCCUUCAUUCCCUGUAAAAUGAAAUAACUACCUUCCUAGCCUUUCGGCUAAGACAUAAAAACAUAAUAACAAUAGAAAUAAACAAGGUAAUGCAACAACUAACACCUACCUAUGAUGAGGAUCCAGGAGAGAAUGCGUCUACUGACCAAACUCAACCUCUGAGGUGGAAAACUAGGAGCAUGCCUCAAGACAUAGGGUCAGGUCAAGAUUCCCCAGUCACUACCUCAACACCUAGUUUGCCCUCAGAGGAUCACGAGGAGCAGAGCACAAGCCUUGGGUGGUGAGCAUCAGUUGGUUUCAUUAUUUUUAAUUUCAGUAGAAUAUGUAUCAUUUAGCAUGAAAGGGAGGGGUGCACUAUCACUUUAGCUUGUUUUGAGCUAUCUUCUAGAAGAUUGAGACUAGCAUGUCGUAUUGACCAUGGUCAAUGACCUAGGCCGCACCUUAUUUUCCUUUCCAUCAUACCCCUCUUGCUUGUUUUCCAAGGCUCUUUCACUUAUAAAUAGGAGGUCUCCCUCAUUGUAUGUACAUGUUGAAUUUAAAUGAAGUAAAGAAACUCUACACAAAUUGUGUGAGCUCUUAGUGAGGCUUAUGUCCUCUUAGGUUUGAGGUCUUAUCUUGAGUGAUUUGGGAAGCUCUCAAGUGGUGGUCAACACACCCAUCUUGGAGAUAGCCACCCUCUAAGUGGCUUGAUUUUUCUCACCCACCACCAUAAGUUUUCUCAUUCCAUUUCCUUCCAUUUCUCCAUUCCAUUUAGGUUUUUCUCUCUUAGUUUCUUAUUUAUUGCUCUUGGGUUUCACUCAUAAUUAUGAGUAUGGUGCAUCAUUUGGUGCCCAUUUCAAUUCGCAAAUUGCAUCUCAUUCUCGCCAUUUUGUUUUUCAUCUUUGCCUCUGUGAAGUGAACUUUCACACUUACUUAACCACUUGAUUAAGUUCGUGUCAGUGGGAAUCUUCCUUAGGUCCUCACCAUUAAUUGUUAAAAUCUCAACCUUAAGUAAAAGUGUCACCAUAAAUGAAAACAUCUAAAAAUCAACUCCCUUAAUAUGUAUUUGAAUUUUAUCUACUUUAGUAUUUUACAUAUAUUAAAAAUAAUGGAUUUUUAUUCCCUUGUCUAAAAUUAAAGCACAUGAUUCAUAAUUUUCAAUAAAUAAAAAAAAUAAAAAAUUAAUUUUACAAAGCAUACAUUAAUUAGUUGAUCUUAUACAAAAAUUAAUUUCAUGAAUUAAACAUAUAUUGAAUCCUAUUAAGCUCGCUCAUUAAUUACAUGGCACAAAAAUCUGGAAACAUUGACCAACCAAUAUGCUGUUCUUCUCUAGAUCCAUGAAAGAACAAAACAUGUAAAAGGUGGUGAUUGAAUCCAUUAACAAAAUUCAUCAUAAUUAUACAUAACUAAAUUUCUUAUUUAUCGUAUAGGCUGGGGAUUAUGGGAAUUAUUAUUUUUGUUCUAGGUCGGUUGAUUGUGUUUGGUCUUCUCUUCACUAAAUUAAACGAUUUUAUUAUUUUCUUUCGCUAUUUUCCUUCUUUGCAAACUCUUAACUCUUAGUUUAGAUGAUAUUUGUAAAAGAUACUGUAAAAGUGAGAUCUUAGUGUUCAGUGUAGUUAAUAUACGUGAUGAUAUAUAUUUUUCUUAAAACUCAUGACUAUUUAUAUGAUUAUUAUGAACUCAUUUGUUAUUAGUCGAAUUAACGUUUAAAUAUAAUUAAGAGGACCUCACCUACGGUUUAAUCUCAUAGUGAUGAUUUCUCAGUUAAGAGUACAUUCUCUUUGCAAAGUAGAAAAUCAGUGAUCUUAUAAUUGUUUUUGUUGUUUAGCAGCAUGAAGAAGAGAACACUAUUCCACAAACAAUUUGAUCAACCAUAAUUUUAAUUAUUCUCUAGUGACAUAUUACAAUAAGCUCUUAAUAAGAUUAUACACACCACACACAAAAAUUAAUGUUAAAAAUAAAAAAUAAUUAAUUACAACUAAAUUAUAUACUAUUUUAAAAAUUAUUAAUAUUUAAAAUAAGUUUUAUUAUUAAUUUCUAUAUUAACAUCCAAUUAGUUACCAAUUUAAAAAUGAAAAUUAACUUAUAAAUUUUUCUAAUAAUUAAAAGCGACUUUAAAUACUAAUAAUUUGUUUUAGGAAAAAAAUUACACACCAACAAGAAAGCUUAGGAAACCAAGAACUAUAGUUCUAAAAGAACUUAUCUUGGUCAAAGUGAAAGUGAGGAUAAAGAAGAACAGAUGCCACCUCACCAAAAUCCAUGUCCAAGUUAUGAGAGUCUGUACAUGAAUACACAUUAUCUGCGUUGUUAUCAGGUGCCUUCCUUAAGGGCAUAAUGGUAGAGUUGGAUGCUUCAGAUUCCUUCCAAUAUUCAAGAAACAUAUUGUGAUCAGUAAGAUCACUUGGUGUGUGAAUUUCUUUGCUAAAUUCUGGUUUUAUAGCUAAGUGUGGUGAGCUAAUGAGAUGAUCUUGUGCAUUGGAGUCACGAUCAGAAUGCAGAUGAUAUGAUUCCCAAGAGGAAGAAUCUGUGGUUGUGUGUGGAACCAUAGGAAUGACAUUGCAUGUGUGAAUACCAAUGUACGUAAUUCGAUACAUAUGUGGAUUAUCAUGAUCCAGUUGCACCUGUUUGGUUGCUUUACAACCCUGAUCAUUCUUGUAACUGCACCUGAAGUAACUCCUACAAAUCAUUAUUAAGAACAAGGUGAGUUAGAUGACUAAUCUAUGGAAAAAAAAAGACUUGUACAAUGAAAUCUUCUAGAUUAAGGUUUGAUGUACCUAUUGUGUGAUCAUGUUUUGGAAUACUAUAUCAGAAUUAUAUAUCUUUUCAUGGAAAAAUAUAAAAAUAAGAUCAUAAAGAAAAGCAAUGAUAACAAUAUACCUAGGAAAUUCAGAAUUCUGGAUUUCCUUUUGCCCAUACUUCCUCCAUGCAUAAUUAUCAUCAGUGGUGCAAGAGACUAUGGUCUUUCUCAGUACACCCUUGCUGCACAACAACAACAAACCAGGUGCAAGAGACUAUGGUCAUUUCAUGUGUAUUAAUAUAAAUAACAUAACACAUGUUUUUCCAUAUAUAGAAAAAGAAGAUAAAAACAUACUGCAACAUAUCUGGAAUCUGUAAAAUGCAUCUGUGAAACAUAACAAGGAGUUAUAUAUUAACCCUCUUGGAUCUGACCUCAACUUUGCUAUCAGCAUGUUUAUAAAUUCAUCAAACCAACAAAUAUAACCUCAAAAAAUCAAAAACAUUAAGUGAUCUGAAACAUGACACACAUUCUAUACUUAACUAAAAAUGAGUUAGAUCUAAGUUAUGUUUACGAUUUGCAUCUCCAACAACAGUACAUCCGUACACAUCCAAAUUCCUCAGGCCCUCUCUCUGAGUAACCCAAUUUCUAGGAACAAAGAAGGGUUUGUUACUUGAACUAUAAAACAUGUGUCAGUGUGAAUGAUGAGAAAGAGAAAAUGUAACCUUCUAUUGUAGCGACCUCUCCCACCCUUUUGGGAUCUCUUCUCACUGCAAUGUGGAGACGUUGGAUCAAUGCCGGAACCGGUCACCGGCGACCCAUAUUGGGUGGAAUUCAGACAAGCCACCACAUCUGCUGAACUGGGUUCUGAAGAAAUGAUAGAAAGAGAUUGUGUGAAAGAUGUGAGAACAAUGGCCAUGAGUUGGUGAUAAGAGAGAGAGGGUUCACUCCCAGAGGGUUUCUGAAGCAGAAUCUUUAGCUCAGUAGCAGCUUCUUUACCCUUAACAAUAUUUUUCAUUAUCUCUCUCUUCUUCUUUGCAUCAGUUUCAGUACAAAUCAUGUUUUUCAUUGCCUUCGCUUUUUCUUUUACUGUCUUUUUUUCUUUGCUUCUUUUGGUCUAGAUUUAUACUAUGGAGAAGAAAAGGAAAGAGGGAGAGAUAGAAAAUAAAAUUUGUCCUCGUUCUGAAGAAAAAACUUUUGAUUUGACAGUUUUAAAAAAAUUUAAUAAAAAAAUUUCUCUUUCAAAAGGGAAUUGAAUGGGUUGAACAAUUGAAUUUGGUCGGUCGUUGGUUGAUAUGCAUUCUUUCUUUUUAUUCCUCAGACUCGUUCAACUUUUUCUUUUCUGCUCUGCUUCCAUUUCUUCAUUAAGCUCUCCUUUCCGAUGGCUUUCAAAAAUGGAAGGACAUAAUUGAAUUAUAUUAUUAUUGAAUUGAGAUUAACGUAUAAAUUAUGAUUAAAAAUAUAUUAUUUAAUUUUUAAUACAAUUUAAUUUUAUUAAUUAUUAUUUUUAUUUUAAUACAUUUUAAAUUAUCAAUUUUUAGAGAAAAAAAAUAAUUAGUUGCAAUAGUAAUUAAAUUAGAAACUAUUUUAGAAACUAAAAAAAUGGUUUCGUUUAUAUUAUUGUUAAAUAGUUUCUAAAUUGGUAUGUAAUUAGCUACCAAAUUUCUAAAUUGGUAUCUAAUUAGUUACCAAGGUUUUAACUAUUAAUUAUUUAGAUUCUAAAUUUGGAAGAAAAAUUUUGGUUGCUAAUUAGAUACCAAUUUAGAAAUCAUUUAACAAUAAUAAAAACUAAUUUAGAAACCAAAAUUUUUUUUAGUCUCUAAAGUUGUUCUUAAUUUAGUCAACUAAUUAUUUUUUAUCUCUAAAAUUGGUUUCUAUUUCAUGAUUUGUCUUUGUAGUGUAAAACUCGUGAGACUUAUGAUUCUAACCAAAAUAAAUUUAUAAUUAAAUAAUAUAAAAAAUUAAAAAUAAUAAUAAUAAUAAAUAUUUAUGAUGGGUGUAGAAAUAAAAAAGUGAAUUAUGUUAAUUUUGGAUAAUAUAAGUACUUUAUAACUUCAUUAUCAGUUCCUAGUCUGAAAAGUGAAACCCGCUAAUAUUCUUAUCCGAAAUAAAUAACUUUAUAUUCUACAGAUAAAAACAAUAUCUCGUUUAUUAAGUCGUAUAAUAAAUCAGUACGUAAAUUACUAUUUGAUCAUUCUAAAAUCAAUUACUUAAUAUUUAUAUUUUCAUAAAUCAAUUUAGUGUCCAGCUAAAGAAGCAUUCUUUUAUGUGUUUCGAUAGUGUUAUUAUGUGAUUAAAACAAUGAUUUUAUCUCCAUAAUAUUAUCUAUAAAAGAACUUGCACUAGAAGUUUAUACAAAUUGACUAAAUUAAACUUUUAUCAAAGAAUAUAACUUGUCCUUUAUUAGUGUAUAUAUAAGAAUACAAAAACCUACACAAAUAAAUAAUUUUUUAAAACUUGUUUGAUAUUUCAUUAUUAUAAAAUUAUUUUUAAAAAUUAUUUUUUUAAUGUAUAAGAUUUGAAUUUUUUUAAUUCACGUAAUAUAUUUAUUAUUAUUAUUAUUAUUAUUAUUUUUUGUGUAUCAUAUAUUAAAAAAAUUAAACGCGUUAUUGAAGAAGAGAUAGGGGCUCUUGACUGCAAUCUGUAGUUGACUGUGAGGAUAGGAAUGACGUCACUGCGCAACGUAGGAAUGACGUCACUGCAAUGAUAGGAAUUUUUUUUUCUUAAAACGAAAGCCUAAUAAUAGUACAAAUGAAUAAAUGUAUAUAUGAAAUUAAUAAUAUAAAGUUUCUAUUAAAUUGGGAAAAGAAUUAAUGUGUGUUAAUAAUAAAAUUAUAAUUUUUUUAGUUUUUUAAUUAAUAUUUUAAUGAUAUUUGUUAUAUCCAAUUUUGUUUCAUUAUUUUAUGUUAGUCCUUAAAAUCAUUGCUAAAAAAAAGAGUAAUUGUUAAAUAAUUUUGUAUUAGAUAAUUAUUAGAGUAUAUACUUUUCUUCUAGAAAUGGUGUCAAACAUCAAUUCAAUAAAAUUUGUCUUACAUGUUUAGAGUUCUUGAAAAUGGGAUAACGAUUGUACAAAUACAUAUAAUGAAAGUUGUGCAGGUUAGAUAAGGAUAAAUGAAGUACUUUGUACUUUUCUUGCAAGCAAUUAAUUAUCAUAUAUAAUUUAUUUAUUUUUUACUUUUAUUUUAUUUAAAAAAAAAACAUCUAAAAAGUUAAACUAAGUUAUUUUUCUGUUAAAAAAUAUUUUUUUUCUAAGAAAACUCAAACAAACUCAUCUUGACUUUGACGCAGAAAGUGAUUAUUUAAGUUAUUUAUUACUAUAAUUAAUAUAGAAUGUUUUGAUUUUCUACUUCAGAUGAGAAGUGAUAUAAAAAAAUCUAUAUAUCUCUUUCACUUGUUUAUAAAAUUUGUUAAAAAAUAAAUAAAGUUAAUAAUUCAUAAAAUUUACAAUUGAAGUAACGUUAUUUAAGAAAAAAACAGGAUAAAUUAAUGAAAUAAUGUUUUAAGUAUUGAUAAAAGUGACUUGAAAUACUUAAAAAAAAAAAUUAAACGUUUAUUUUAAUAGAUUUGACAAUAUUAUAGUUAAAUUUUACACAGAAUAUUUAAAUAUAUGUAGUAAAAGCUACAAAGUUAAAACAAAUAAUUCAUCUAAAAAAUAAUAUAUUAUGGAUAUUAUUACAAACAAAGCCAUUUUAAUAUUAAUGAAGAUCACAAUCGAGAUAGAAAAUCAAAAUUUUUAGUAGAGAAAAUAUUUUCAUGACAUAUAACAAACAUAUAAAACAUCACACUCAAUUGCUACACAUAAUCCACAACUCAUUCUAUACUUUUCAAGAAGUCUAUCAUAACAUUUUUGUGUGGGGUUUUUUUUCUAUUAUAUUAUAAAUUAAUUUUAUUCGUAAUAUUAUAAUUUUAGCCAAUUUCAGAAAUAAAGAUUAAAUAUAUCUAUGAUGGUUUAUUUCAAAAUAAAAAAGAAGAAGCAGCAGUAACUACCACUGCCAUAGACAGAAUCAAGACCAGGUCUACCUUCACGUCUCUUUUCCAACCAUUCACACUUUGUUCUUAAAUAUAUCUUCUCAACUUUUAAAAGUAUUUUUUAUCCAAUUUUUAUCAGUCUUUUACAUUUAAUAAUAAUAAUAAUAAUAAUAAUAAUAAUAUUAAUUAUAAUAUUAAUAAUAAUGUUAAUUAUAAUAUUAAUUAUAAUGUUAAUUAUAAUAUUAAUUAUAAUGUUAAUUAUAAUAUUAAUUAUAAUGUUAAUAAUAAUAUUAAUAAUUAUAAUUUAUUUUAUUAUUAAUAAUAAUUAUAUUAAUAUGUAUAAAUUAUAUUAAUAAUAAGUAUAAUAAAAAUGAUAAUAUGAUCAAAGAAUUUCUCUGGUCUAGUGGUUAAUGCUACCUUGGAUCACUGGAAGGAGUUCAAAUCCUGACUGUGUUUUCUAUCUAGUAAUAAUAGAUAUAAUUAAAAAGAUUAUUUUCUUUCUAUUUUUAGAAUUCCCCUUACAGUAACUUUUCCAUAUUUGAAUAUAUAUAUAUAUAUUUUGUAUAGAAUUACAAAAAUUUCAAAAAAUUUGAUAAAUACGCGGAACUAAAAAUUCAUUUCGAACAAUUGAACCUUCUCAAAUUAUUUUCAAAAUAAAUUUAAUAUACUGAUAUAAAAUAAAAUAUAUAAAUCAAGUAAUAUACUACAAAUUCCAUAACAUACAAUAAAUUAGAUAAUACUGAUUUUUAGUAGAGAUACGUAUUAAAUAUGAUUCAUAAACAAAAUAAUUAACUAUUAACAUUAUAAAUAAAUAUUAUUAUAAAAAAUAAAUUUUGAUUUAUCAAUAAAAGAGUUUUAUAGGAUUUUAUGAGUGUAUUUUACUUUUUCUUUUAUUGUAUUUUUGAGGAUGAAAAUACUAGGCCGUAUAUUUCCUAAGUCUAUCUUUUCCACCUAAUUUCUCACUAUUCAUAUUUUGUCCUUUUGGUAUAGAAUUGCAUGGCUUACACUCAUUCCACCAGAAUAAUUGAAAGGAAGAAAACAAAAGUUAAAUGCCUUCUGGGUUUGGGAACUUCAAAGAAUAAUUGAAAGGAAGAAAACAAGAGUGAACUGGGUUUGAGAACUUUAAAAAACAGACACCAUUAAUGGCAUGCUAUAAAACAAAAGGAAUUGUCUCAAUUUGAGGUAGAAAGAAUUUCCCAAAGGGUCUUUCUUAGUAAUAAUAAGUCUGCAAAGGUUGUUCAUAUAGCUGAGAGAAACAAAUUUACAACACCAUUGAUAUAAUACAAUUCUAUAUAUAGUAAUUUCUUGGACAUUAUUGUGUCCUAGUCAUGCAUUGGUAUUGUUCACAACAAAUUAUAACAGCAAAAACACUUGUUGCUGGGAAAGCAUCAAAGUAAAUAACCUGUAUUCUUGUUAAAACAAAUAAGCUUAGGAAACCAGCACUAGCAUGUGAAUGGGCAAUUUUUUUAGAAAUAGAAACUAUAAAAAAAAAACACUAACACAUUUCUUCACAGACCAAAUACUCGCUUGUAUAUAAACUAAAAUUUUUAAACCUAGUACGAAAUAAUUUAUAUAAAAUUUUCAUUUAUAAAUAAAUGUAUUUGAUUUUUCUUCUUAUUUAAAGUAUUUAUGAAGAAAUUUAUUAAUACACUUGCUCAAAGUGAAAGCCAGUGCCAAAAUGAACAGAUGCCACCACAAAACUCAUAUUCUGUGCAUGAAUACUCAUUAUCUGCAUUGUUGUCUGAGUUCUUCCCUUUGGUUCAAAAUGCUUCAAAUCUGAAGCAGACUAGGCUCCAAUGGCUUGUGAUCUGUAAGAUCUUUGAGAAAUUCUUGUUUUAUAGUUAAGGUUGGUGAGCUAAUGGGGGGAUCCUGUAGAAUAGAGUCAUGAUCAGAAUUCAGAAGAUAAGAUUCCCAAUUGGAAGAAUCUGUGGUUGAGUGUGUAGCCUUAGAGCAUGUGUGAAUGCCAGUGUAAGUAGUUUGGUACAUCGUUGGACAUUCUUGAUUCCUCUGCACUUGUUUUGUUGCUUGGCAACCUUGGUCAUACUUAUGACUGCACCUGAAGUAACUCCUACGAAUUAUUAUUAAGAACAAUGUGAGUUUGAUUGACCAAUAGAAUCUGUGUACCUUACAAGAUAUAAAGUCAUUGCACAUGGUGUAACAUCGAGCAAGAAAAAGAUACCAAAAUGUUGGUCAAGAUGAUUUACAAGUGUGAAGGUUUCUAUUGACCAUUGAUCGAUGUGAAGUUUUACAUAGAAUAUAGUUGCUUUUUCCACUACAUGAAAGUGACCUAACUAAAAAAUCAAUUCAAUUUUCCAAUUGCUGCCAGAGUAUGUUACCUGCUAAGUUGUGUGGCUGAGAAACCAUGUGAGGAGUAAAGAAUAAAGAAAGGAUUAUAAUAUGAGGACUCAUUCUAGAUAAUUCAUUAAAAACUGAAUGAAAAUACCAUAAAAAAAAUACAAUGAUAAUGAUUUCCUCCGUAUUUUCUAAUACAUGUUACACAUUAAAUAUCAAACCCUAAAUCCUAAAUCUUUACGAUGGUGCAGUUGAAAGUUUCGUCAUGGAUAACAUCAAAAGUAUACUUAACAUAUUUUUCUUAUUUUGAUUAGUGUUUAGAACCGUUGGUGUGUAUGAGAUCUAUUAAAAUAAAUUUAGUGAAAGGACGUGGGAAAAAACAAAUGGGUGAGUUCAAGAGAUGAGAGAAAAGAUAGGGAUGAGUAGGUUUGCUCAAGGUUAGAGGUUUUUUCCGAAUAGAUUCUUGUUUCUUGUAAAAAGGUUGAGGUAUCCUUGAAAUAUCUCCAUUUUAUAUAUUCUUGUUUUGCCAAAAAAAAAACAUUAAAUAUCAAAUUAUAUGAAUGAUAUAUUUUAAAUUUUUAAAAUUAUAAAAAUAUAUAAAAUCUUAAAUUUUCACCUAUUAUUGUUGUAAUUAUUAUUAUUACCAUUAUUAAAAAUCAAUAAUAUUAUUAUUGUUAUAUGUGAUUAUGCAAUGAUAGUAAAGGCAAAACUAAUUGUAAUGGUUAAAACCAUAAUUUUACAUCAUUCAAAUUAUAAUGUUAAUCACUAAAUGGUUAUCAUAAGCAAAAUUAUUACUUUUCUUUUGUAAAUAGGUUUUUCACAUACUAUUAUUGGUUACUGUUAGAACCAAUACACUAUAUACAUAUAACCAAUGUGAUAUCUAAUACUAAUCAAUAUGAUAUGUAGUAAAGUUUAAGGUAACAAAUCUUAUUAUUUCUCUUCGCAAAAUGUAUAUAGUGUCACAACACUCUCUUGUGAACACUCUCCCACUCUUACUCCCAUCUCUGAUCAUCUUCUCUCACACCAUUAUUAUGGAUUCUCACUGCUAUCCCACUCUUAUUGCCAUCUCUGAUCACUAUCUCUCACAUCAUUAUUAUGAGUUCUCACUAUCAUUGUUGAUCUUAUGUGUUACAAAUGUGUAUGCUCUUUGUUGUUUAUCCUACAAUAAUUAUUAACUAAAAAGUGGUUAUAUUAAUUAAAUUAUAUACUAUUUUAGAAACUAAAAAUAUUAUUAAUAUCUAAAUUAGUUUCUGUUAUUGAUAAAUAAUUUAUAAAUUGGUAUCUAAUUAGCUAUCAAGAUUUGAGCUACCAAAAGUUUAGAAUCUCAAUAAUUGGUAGUUAAAACUUAGACAGCUAAUUAGAUACCAAUUUAUAAACUAUUUAUCAAUAAUAGAAACUAAUUUAGAUAUGCAAUAUUAUUUGUAGUCUCUAAAAUAAUAUCUAAUUUAGUUAAUAUAACAACUAAUUAUCUUUAAUUUCUAAAGUGGUUUAUAUUUAAGGAUUUUUUAGUAGUAAUAUUAUGUGAAGAAAACAAGUUGGAUUAAGGUUGAGGUAAUGAAGGAAUUUUGAAAUAAGGGGUAGCCAAGAAGGUCGAAAUUGAGGUGGGUCUAGUUGCAGGGAAGUGAAGUGGUGAGAAAGGAGGGCUUCCAAAGGUGCAUGAAGUUGUGGCUAGCUGUGUUUAGAGUGGAAUAUCUCAAAGGCAAGAAAGGAGUUGUUGAUAAACAAUAUAGAAUAUCUAAAAUAAUAACAAGAAUAAGACUAUGUUAGUUGUAUUCUAACCUAAUUUCUAUUUCAAAAUAAGAUAUCCAUCAUCAAUAAAAUCAAUAAAAUAGGAUAGUUGCGAGACUGUAAAAAUAAGUUCAGAACCUGACUCAAAUAAAAUAUUAUCAUUAAAGUAAAAGUUAAUGAGUACUUUAUUACAAUAAUAACAUACUGAAAGGAAUUAAGGACUCAUUAGUUCUUAGUUUGCAUUAGAAUAAUAACAGUUUUUGUUACUAGCUUCUCCGCUUACAUACAUAUUUGACUGUAAUUUCUACACUUUUAGAAUGAUUAAGCCACUUAGAGGAUCAAUUGGAAGGUUGGAGGCAGCAGUUUUCUUAGAAUAGAGAUGUAAGGGAAAAAUGAAUUAAUGCAUCUACUAAUUAAAGAAAAAAGACAAUUACAAAUUAUGCAACUUAAUUACUAUGUAUACAUAAUGAUAUUUACAAAUAUAUAUUAUCUCAAUCUCCAUUGAAAAUAAAAAAAUGGAAAAUUUGUUGAAAUUUUAGAAAAGAUUGAGAAAUGUAUUGAAGUGUAUAGCAAUGUAGUAAAUCUAGAUUGUUGAGAGUAGUUUUGGAGAUGGUGGAUGGUAUGGCGGAGUUGUGAAUAAGGUAAUAAUUAAUUUAAUGAGUUAUUGAGUUUUGAUAAACUUGAAUAUAAUGCAAUAUGUCAUCAUAUGUGUCAUCACUUUAUAUUGAUAUAGAACUUUCUAAACUCCUCCAUUCUAGUUUUGUUUAUUUGUAAUGAACUAAUGGUAUUAAAUAAAAUGGGACAAUUAAGAAAUGUCUCAACCCAUAUACACAAUAAAAGCUAGAUACCUCCAAACCAGAACUCAUUAUAACUCAACAACAUAUCAUCUAAAAAAUCUAUAUACAUGUUAUGUAACAUGUGAAUGUAAUUAGAGAUUAUUCUACACCCAAUAAAUUUUUCUUACUUUUCUACAUUGUUCUUAUAAUUAUAGGAAUUGUAAAUAAUUAAUGAAUUUUUAUUUUCUUGAACUUUCUUAAAAUUUAUAUCAUAAAUUAACAUCAUCUUUUAUGCAAAUUUAAGAAAUUCCAAACAUAAAUCAUAUUGCUCAACCUAACUCUAGAUAGAACCUUAAUAAAUAUGUAUGCAACUUAGCUUUCUAUCUCAUAAUAUUUAAGUUAAAUUUAUUUAGCUUUAGCAAAUGUUUCAUUGUAGUCAACUUCUCAUUGUUAUGAGUAUCCUUUAGCACCUAGUCUUACCUAUUUUAUAUGGUGUCACUAGGAUUAAGUUUUGUUUUGUAAAUUCAUUUAAGUCCAAUGAUAUAUUUUCCAUGUGGACAAUACACAUUCUCAAGUAUUAUUCUUUUUUAUCAUUUUAAUCUCUUCUUCAAUUACCUUGAUCCAAACUUCUUGCUUUGUUAUUUAUUCAUAGUAUUAAAACUCAAGUAUUUUCAUAUUACAUGUUUCAUAUAUAUCCACCAAACAUCUUACUUGUCUUGAGUAAUCUCUACUGGAGAAUUUAGUUGUGCUAUUAGUAAAGAAGACAUAUUUGAAUUUUUUAUCAUUUCUUAAAUUUCUUCUUGAGGUUGUUGUACUAGAAUAAGAAAAGUUUUCCUUUUCCUCAAUUCUAAGAAGCACUUUCUUCAACUUCAACAUGUCUACUAAUGUUGAGCUUCUUUGUGUGUGGGUUGUAAACUCUACAAUAUUUUGUUGUGUGAUAUUUCUCAAAAAGAUUUCUCAUAUAGUUUUGUCUUCUAAUUUGUGUCUUUUAUGAUCAAGUACAUAUAUGCAAUAGAUGGAUGACUUUUGCUCACUCCAAGCUUCAACUAGUGUCUUGUCUUUGACUGAUUUUGUUGGACAUGUUGAGCAUGUAGACAACAAUGUAUAUCGUUUUAGCCUAAAAAGGAUUAGGCAAGUCCUUCAACAUUAAUCUAGCUAUCUUCAUGACUAAACAGUUCUUUAUUUAUGACACCAUUAUUCUACUAUUGUGAAUAUGCUACUGUAAGUUGUCACUUUAUUCCUUCAUAGAAUUUAUCAAACUCGUGUGAGUUAUAUGUUUACCACUUUGUUUCUCAACGAGAACUUUAAACUUCUUAAAUAUUCCAAACACUUCUUAUUCUUCUUUAAUGAAAUAAACCUGUAUUAUUCUAGAAAAAUCAUUAAUAAAAAAGAUAAAGUACACAUGUUAUUGUUUAGUGAUGAUGUCUUCAUCGGUCCACAAUUUUUUGUGUGAAUUAACUUCAAUAAGUCUUUUGUUCUCUAUGUUUUGUUAGUUGAAAACAAUAAUUUAUGUUAAUUUGAAGUAGACAUCCUUCACAUAAUUCAUUAUUUUCUUUCAGGAAUGACAAUCAUUUCAUCAUAUUCUUUUGAUAUAAUAACUUCAAAGUUUGGGUGUUGAAAGGACCAAAUCUUCAAUGUCAAAUCCAUGAAUCAUCAACUUUGACUUUCAUAGCAAUAUCAAAUCCAUGAAUCAUCAACUUUGACUUUCAUGACAAUAUUAGUGAAAUAUUUGAAGUUUAUAGGAAAACUUAUAUUUCUUUUCUCCAUUUAACUUCACCAAACUAUUGUCUUUUAUUGUCAUAGAUUUGAAAAGUAUCUCCUUUGAAGUGAAUGGUGUAUCAUUUCUCCAUCAUUUGACCAAUUCGCAAGAGAUUUUCCUUAUGAUUAGGAACAAGUAAGACCUCUUUUAUGAGGCUCAUACCUUUCUUUGUUUCCACCAUAACAAUGCCUCUUUUUUUUACUCCACUAGGUAGCGUUUUCCAAUCGAACUUUCACUUUGAUAAAGUUGUCAAUAUCCCCUGAAAAUGUUCUUAUCUUUGACCAUAUGAUUAUUGCAUUUGCUAUCCAAGUACCAACUUCCAUUUAUUUCAUAAUCAGAAUCACAAGCAACAUAUAAAAGAUGUUGCUCAAGGGUAUGCUUUUCAACGAAAUUUACUUGAUAGCUUUUUUUUUGUGAUAGUUCUUCUCCAUGUGUCCAAAUUUCUUAAUGUUGAUAUUUUUGUGAUACCAAUAAUCUUUCUCCAAGUGACUUGACUUCUUGGAGAUUCACACGGAGGAUAUUCAUCUUGAUUGGACUUAGAGAAAAUUCAAGAAUUUUCUUUAAUUCAAGAAAUUUCUCCAUCUUUUUUACUCCACUCUCUUUAUUCUAAGACCUUGAGUUUUGAUUGAAAUUAAUUUUUGACAAAGUUAUCAUUAUACAGUUUCAAACUUUGUUCAUAUGCUUCCACAUAGCCUAUUAGUAUACUCAUUCACAAGGUAGAUAAAAUGUUGAUUUAUUCUUGUAGUCACAAUUUGUGCCAUAUUUAUGAGGAAUAGAAAUUAGAAUUUUCUCAACAAUUUUCUUGUCAAGAAUAUUUUUUCCACAUCUCUCAUUUGAUCGACUAUUUCGUUUAUUCUAGAAUAGUAAUCUUUAAUGGUCUUAGACUCCAUCAUAUUUAAUAACUCAAACUCAUGUCUUAGAGUUUGAAGUUUAAUUACCAUUGCAAUUUCUUGAAAUUUUUCUUGUAAUGUGCUCCACAUCUCUUUCUAACAUCCAUUAUUCUUGUAAAAAUUACAUCCACCAUUACUUUUUGUAGAAAAUAUAAUGUCCUUACAUCUUUCUACUUAUUUUCCUUCAACUUCUUCCUCAGAGCACUUGUAGGAGCAGCACCUUCAACAAUCUCCCAUAAAUCUUGAGAGCAAAACAAAUGUCUUCAUUUUGAUGUUCCAAUAAUCAUAAUUUUCCACGAUAAAGACAUGUACAAGAAUAGGUGAAUAAGGACUGAUAUUAUCCAUUGGUUAGAAAAUUUUUGGUAUUGAUAUGGAAUAUAAUAAGAAAGUUUUAUGGAAAUAGUUGGUUAUUAUAACUGCAUCUAAUAGACUACUAAACAUAACUCUAAUACCACCAUUAGAAUUUUAAGAGAGAGACAUGCAGAGGGAUGUAUAACAAUGUACUAAAUAUAGGUUAUUAGAGAUGACAAUGUCAAUCAACCUGUGAAAAACUUAAAUGUUAUGAUUUACUAUUUACUGCAAGUAAAUAAGAAAAACAUACUAUAAAAAAAAUAUUAAAGUGAACCAUGAACUAAAAUCUUGAUUAUAUUUGUAAUAUAUAAUAUUGAUAAAAUAGUGAAUAAAAAUAUCUAUUUAUAUUCAACAUACAAACAAUACUAUAUAUCAAUAAAAAAUCCAAAAAAAAUAAUAGGAUUGCGGAAUUGGACGAGUCAACUCACACAUUACUCCUUACAAGAUAUGUAAAACGAACUUAUGAAAGUUUCUUACAAGAUAAAAACGAACUUAUGAAAGUUAGAUGAAUAUAUUGUCUUUUUCGAUUUUUUUCAUAACAAAUUACUAUUUAACAACAUAGUUCUCUCACAUCGUCAUCCUUAUAGAUAGAAGAUAACUUUUAUAGUAAUAUAAAAUUUUCUUUAUCUAGAUGCUAAGAGAAUUAUUCUACACAUAAUAUAUAUUUUUUACUUUUAUAUUGUUCUGGUAUUUCUAGGAAUUAUUAAUUCUAAUAGUUUUUAGGAUUUUUAUUGUUCUUAACUUUCUAAAAAUUUGCACAAUAAUUUAACAAGAAACAAUGACUGUAAAAUAUAUACCUAGGGAAUUGAGAAUUCACUAUUUCCUUUUGUCCAUACUUCCUCCAUGCAUGAUUGUCAUCAGUAGUGCAAGAUAGUUUAGUCCAUGUGAGUGCACUCUUUCUACACAACACCAAUUCAUUCAUGAAUUAAUUGAUAUCAAAUAUAUACAUACAAUCCAUCAUACUAUAACAUCAACACUAUAAACUUCACCAGUGAUAAAUUACAAGAAACCCUUUUGGAUCUGAACCUAACAUCAACAUAUAGGAAUACUAAUUAUGCAGAAAUUCUUUUAUAUAUAUAUAUAUAUAUAAACCUAAAAUUUUCAUAAACCAAAAAGUUCAGUCAUGUCAACAACCAUACUCUUUAUGUCCGUACAUUCGUACACCUCCCAAAUCAUCAAAUUUCUGGGUGAUUAUCACAAAGGCCAAGGAAAGAAGUGUAUGUGUGGCAGGAAGUGAACCAAAAAAACCCUUUGUCACUGCAAGAAUAAACCCUAUUUAUAAAUAGAAAGAGAGAUUGUUGAGAAAGAGAAUAUGACAUGUUAACCUUCUACUGUAGCGACCUCUUCCACCCUUUUGCGAUCUCUUCUCACUGCAAUCUCCAGAUGUUGGACAGUUGCUGGAACGGGGCACAGACCACCCAUUUUCGCCGGAAAGCAGGAGAUUCUGAUAACCCAGCCCAUCUGCAGAACCAGGUAGCAAAGGAGAAGAGUUGAUAACAGAAAGAGCUUGUGUGAAAGAUGUGAGCACCUUGGCUAUGAGGUGAUGCGAAGAGAGAGAGAGAUCAGUCUCAAAGGGGUUAUGAAGCAGAACUCUGAGUUGAGUAGCAGCUUCCUGACCCUUAACAAGCUCUUCCAUUAUUGCUCUCUUCUUCUGGGGUGAGACACUUUCAGUUUCAGGACAAAGGUUCAUUUUCAUUUUCUGUAAGCCUGAGGUUGUAGCUUUUGCUUUUUCUUGAUGUUUUGUUUUAAUCUUUUUGGUUUGUUUGUCUUGGUCUGGAUUUGGAUAGCAAGUGGCUAAGGUUAGAGAAAGAGACAAAACAUUAAAUGAACUUUAUGUAUAACACUGCAAACCACAGUUAGUUUAUGUGAAAUAAUCAGAAAGUUUUUCAUUAAAUAAAAUAAUUUUAUUUUCUACACAUAAAAUUGGCAUAUCAGUAUUAUCAUUAAGUUAAAAAAAAAUAGAUAAGAAAAGGAGAAGAAAAAAGUUAUUAUGAUAAAUUCUUAGAAAUUAUGAAAAAUUAUAUUCACACGUUUCACAAAAUUUGACAAUUAAAUUCAUAUAUGAAAUUACAGACUUUUUAAGUUAACAAAAUAUAAACAAUAUCUUUCUAGUCUUAUCAUAAUACAAAUAUUUUUUUCUAAUUUUUUCUCUCCGUUGAUAAACCCUAACUUGCCUUUCUUUCUUCUUUCAAACGAAAUUGGUAAGUAUUUUCCUUUGGCUCUUUUUUCCGUUUUCCAACAUUUCAGUUAAACCAAUUGGAAUCUGAAAUUACAAAUGUGGAUUUUUAAAAUUCUUCAAAAUUAAUUGUGAAAAGGUUAAAUGAUUCUCAUUCAUAAUUUUAUAAUAAAAUUAAUUUAUAUAUAUAUAAUUUAAAAACAUAUUUAUGCGUUGGUGUAAGAAUGGUAUAGUGUAUAUAAAUAUAAUCAAAAUAGAAUAAUUAAUAUUGUUAUUAUACGUUAAAAGAUUAUUUUUAUAUUAAAUUUAAACCUUGCAAUUGAAGUAAAUGGUUCAGUAUUUUAUUAUCUUGAUGCAUUUGAUUUGACCCAUCACUGAAGAAUCCACUAGUGAUUUAUUGCACAAGUAACUAAGGAUGACGUAUUGGUUGUGACGUCUACAUGACGUCAUGUUUUCUUAAAAUAAAAUAAAAUAAAAUGAAUAAAUAUGGAUUGCUAUUUCGAAUAUUGCCCUAUCGUACUUCUUAUGUCAGAAGGGUCAAAUAAUAAAUAUUAUUUUUAUGUAAUUAACCAAAAAAAAAAUUAAAAUAACUUUAGUUAAGUAAGUAAACUUAUUUAUACAUUAAAUAUUUAUUAAAAUUUUCACAUUAAAUAUAAAUAAUUACAUUUAAUAAUAUAUGAAUGAAUAUAAAUAAUCUUAUAAAUCAAAUUUUAUCAACUAAAAUUAAAUAAAAUUUAAAAUCCACUUUUUUUAAUAAUAUUGAAAUACAAAAUUUUAAUAUCUAAUAGAAAGAUUUUUAUCACAUUCUUUUAACUUCACAUGGUAUAAUUUGUUGCAUUAGAGAUGUUUUUUUAAUAUAUGAUAUUUGUUUACUUUUAUUUUAUUUACUCUGACACAUUACUUUUUGUUUUGAGAAGACAUGCUUAUUAUACCAAUAGAACACAAUAGUUUUAGAAUGAAAAAAAUAAAUCAUAUUAUAUAAUAUGUAUAAAAUAUGACUAUAUCAUAUAGUAAUUACUUUAUUACUAAAAAAACAAAAUCAAUUAAAAAAAAUAGUUACUAUAGUAAUUAAAUUAGAAAUCAUUCUAAAAACUAAAAAAAAUAAUUUUUAAAUUAGUUUUUAUUAUUGUUAAAUGGUUUCUAAAUUGGUAUUUAAUUAGCUACCAAGUUUUAAUUACCAAUUAUUUAGUUUCUAAAUUUCGUAGAAAAACCUUGUUUGUUAAUUAAAUAUCAAUUUAUAAAUCAUUUAAUAAUAAUAAAAACUAAUUUAGAAACUAAAAAAUUUGUAGUCUAUAAAAUGGUAUCUAAUUUAAUCACUAUAGCAACUAAUUAUUUUGUCACUAAAAAUUAGUUUUUAUUUCAUGAUUUUCUUGUAGUGAUUUUAUUCAAUUAUAUACCGAUUGACCAAACUUACCCAAUAAAAAUUACCAUUGCAUUAUUUUUAAUAUUUUUGUAUCAUUUUUCAAAAUUAAAAUACAUAUGAAUUAAUAACUUUUUUGCAUUUUCUUUUCUUUUCCAUCCUUUCAUUACACUUUUCGUUACAAACCAUUAAUAGAGUAACACUAUGAGCUAGAUGUGAUGAGUUAAUGUCAUCUAUAUUAAACUAAAAUGUUAUUUAAAAAAAAUGGUUUAAAAAUAAUUCUAUAAAAUGUAUUUAAAAUAAGUUUUUUCAACAAAGAUUAAGCUUCUUGCCAGUUUCAUUUUUUGUGUGUUUUCAUCUCCUAUUUAAAUAUGAAAUAAUGCUUUAAUAAAUACUAAAUGAAAUAACAUAUCAAAAGAAUGAUGAGUGACAAAUCGAAUUUCAUCAUUUUAAAAUAUUUAAACAUAUUAUUGAAUUGAUUUUAUUUUAUUUUCUAAAUGUUUUUAUAAAACAACUUAAAUUUAUUAAAUUUUCUUUUUUAUUUGUAAAAAAUAUUUCAAUUAUUACUAAAAAAAAUAUCAAACAAUUGUUAAUAGUUAAUAGAAUAUCAAUAUCGAUAUCAAAGUUCGUAAAAAAAAAUCAAUUAAUAUUGAUAAUUUUUUUCCUAGAUUAACUUUCACUAAAACUAUUUUUAAUUGAAGUUGAUCACAAUUAUUUAGGCCAAUAUUGAUAUGAUUAUUUUACAAUAAAUUACAACGUUAUUGUUUAGGUUUUUUUCUUAUCCUAUUCUAUAAUCGAUGUUUGUUGAACAAUUUUUCCAACUUCUAUUGACAAAAAAAAAACUAUAUAUCCUAAUUAGUAUUGAUAGAAAGUUUUCUAGUAAUAAUUCAAAUAAAAUACUAAAAAAAUAUUUGUGUUGAUGAUAAAAAACUAAUCACUACAAAUAUAAAAAGAAAACACAACAAAGAUUAAUAAAAAAUAUAACCCAUGCAUGGUAGAACAUAACGAACAUAACCGAAGUUGAACAUGAGAACUUGCACUUCACUAUCCUCUCAAACCCCAACCACAAAAUCUAAGCUUUGGUUAAUGCAAUGCCUCAACUCUGCCAAAACCAUUCAUCAUCUAAAACAAACCCAUGCUCUUUUUCUCAAGCUCCUCUCCCCACAAUCACCCCAUCAUUACCAUUAUUUCAUGGGUCGUUUCUUAUACCGAGUUCUUCAUUUACCUACCGAAAACGUCAAUCUUUGUUAUGCUCGCCAACUGUUUGACACAAUGCCAAACUGUCCCAAUAGCUUCCUUUGGACCUCCCUCAUCCGAGCAUUCCUAUCCCAUCGUGCCCAUAUACUCCAUUGCAUUUCUACCUAUGCUAGAAUGCAUCAAAAUGGGGUUUUACCAUCCGUUCUCACCUUCUCUUCAGUACUUAGCGCGUGUGGGCGAGUCCCGGCCUUGUUUGAAGGAACACAAGUGCAUGCCAGGGUGGUGCAGUCAGGGUUUCUGGGAAACAAGAUUGUGCAAACUGCACUCCUUGACAUGUAUGCAAAAUCGGGCUAUAUAAUUGACGCACGCGAUGUGUUUGAUAGGAUGGAUGACAGGGAUGUUGUUGCUUGGACGGCGAUGAUUUGUGGGUAUGCUAAGGUAGGAAUGAUGGUUGAUGCACGGUGGCUCUUUGAUAAUAUGGGAGAAAGGAAUUGUUUUACUUGGACUACCAUGGUUGCUGGAUAUGCAAAUUGUGAAGACAUGAAAGCUGCCAAGGAACUGUAUGAUGUAAUGAGUGACAAGAAUGAGAUCACUUGGUUUUCAAUGAUAGCAGGUUAUGGUAAGUUAGGUAACGUGGAGGAAGCAAGAAGAGUAUUUGAUGGAAUACCGGGGCUGCAGUCUGCAUCUGCUUGUGCUGCAAUGCUUGCUUGUUAUGCACAGAAUGGAUACGCAAAGGAAGCUAUUUACAUGUAUGAGAAAAUGAGAGAAGAGGAAAUCAAAAUCACUGAGGUGGCAAUUGUGGGGGCUAUGUCAGCUUGUGCACAACUGAGGGAUAUUAGAAUGUCAAACACACUAACAGACCAUCUUGAGGAGGGUUUCUGUGGUAAGUCCUUCUGUUAUUGGUUGUCUGUUAUUAUUCUGUCGAUAUGUUUCACACACUAACCUCUGUCCUUUUGCUUGAUUUGGAACCCAUUGUUAUUUUAUCUCAGAUAGAACACAUAUUGUUUCCAAUGCAUUGAUCCAUAUGCACUCAAAAUGUGGAAAUAUAAACUUAGCACUGAAAGAAUUCAGUAUGAUGAGAUACAGGGAUAUGUAUGCCUACAGUACAAUGAUUUCUGCCUUUGCUGAGCAUGGGAAAUCACGAGAUGCUAUAACCCUUUUCUUUAAAAUGCAAAAGGAAGGAUUAAAGCCAAACCCAGUUACAUUCAUUGGUGUCCUCAAUGCUUGUAGCUCUUCUGGUCUUGUUGAAGAAGGUUGUAGGAUUUUCCAGAUUAUGACUGAGGUAUUUGGUAUUGAGCCCUUACCUGAGCACUAUACUUGUAUAGUCGAUCUCCUUGGGAGGGCUGGGCAACUAGAAAGGGCAUAUGAUCUAAUAAAGGAGAAUGCAACCUGUGCUGAUGCAACAACUUGGAGCUCUUUAUUGGCAGCUUGCCGGCUUUACGGCAAUGUGGAUUUGGGUGAGAUUACAGCCAGACAUCUCUUUGAGAUUGACCCUGACGAUUCUGGAAAUUAUGUGCUUCUAGCAAACACUUAUGCAUCAAAAGAUAAAUGGGAGCAUGCACAAGAGGUUAAGAAGUUGAUUGGUGAAAAGGGAAUGAAAAAACCUUCAGGUUAUAGUUUGAUUCAGUGAGCAAUCAAGGAACAGUGUAAAGAAGAAGCACUUUGAUUAACCAGUGUAUCCUCUCAAUCAACAUAAUGAUGUUCUCCUGAUCACUUUUGUACUGGUCAACAUUGUUGAAGGUUUUUUCAGUAAUUGCUGAACAAGCUUUGAAUUCCCAGCUUUAUUUUCUGAGACAUGCAUCCAAGAUAUAUCAUCAUGUUGGUCUACGACCAUUUAGUCAUGAAGCCAUUAAGCAAAGCUGUUAAUCCAUCAUAGAACCGAAACGAGUUUCUUGUGGCUGUUGUAUUGGCCUCAAGGUGCAAAUAUUAAGUUCUCUACUCUGCAGAAUUUGUAUGCCGGGGAAGAGGAUGGGGAUGGGGGAGUAUAGGAUAUGUCACAAAAUGGGGACUCUACACAGGAUAUUUACUAAAGAUAUCAUGGACAAUGGUGGAGACAGGAUCCACAUUACUUUGAAAUGCAGGUGUUGUUUUGGGGGGAGAUGGUUAUAAUGGUUCUGUGUAGGAGUUUUAUUUGGUUGCUUUGAGUAAUAACCAUCAACAAACAGAUAUAUGGACAAAGAUAAUUCAUAACGGAAAGCAAACAGGAGGAUCUUCUCCCUAAAAAAUGGAAUUACCACCCAAUGUGGCAUGCAAGGAACACCAGAGGGCUGAGAGUACUCAAUUCCUCUCAAUCUGACGCAAUGCUUGUUGGCAAAAAAGCAGCAGCAAAUGUUUCUUACAUUCAGGUAGAUUCUUUUCCUUGUGCAGUAUCUUUCUUCUGCUUAUAAUUUCUGAUUUCUCUUUAUUAUUUUCUCAAUAACUAUAGUAGGAUCAAUAUUUUUGGUACAUAGGUUGUUAAAUAACUUCAAGGAAAUGAAGUUAUCUAUUGAAGGUUCGAGAUAUUAGUAAAAGAAGAGUUAUCUAUGAAAUAUAUGAAGGCGAAGUUGCUUGUUUAUUAUUGCUCGAAGAAGAUAUUAUAAUAAAAAAAGUGUAUUGGUUGGAAUUUUAUGUUGAACGUGUCAAUCCACAAAAGGUGAUAAGUAAACCUUCACAUAAUUGUACCGUAGAAUUUCGUGUAAAUAAAAUCUACAUAUAGGUUUUCUUAAUUAUAUUAAACUCUGUAAUGUCCAAGUUGGAAAUGGCAAAAAGUAAAAUGAUUUUACUCGUGUUUUUUAUCACUAUUUAUAAUUCAUAUUGUUUUAGUGUCUAGUUUUAUUUUUAACAUUUAUUUCACUAAACUUAACUACUUAAAAAAUUAAAUUGUUUGUUUGUUUAUUCAUCUUUAUAAUUGUAAUUUAUUACUUUAGUUUUCUUGGUCAUUCUUGGGUUUUCUCAAUAUAAGGAGUAGAUUAUAUGUUAUCUGAAAAAGUUAACAUAUAUUAAAAUGUUGUCAAUUUUUAAAUUAAAAAUAAUAUUUCAUUGUUAACAUAUAUUAAAAGAACAGAAUAAUUUUAUUCAUUUUAUUUAAAUUAUUAUUUAUCGGUUGUAAUAGUUUCAUAGAAACUUAAGUAUUAUCCAAGGUAAGAACAUGUUUGCAUGUAUGUCAUAUCUUCCAUAUUUGGUUCUUACUGUAGAGUAUAAGUAGAUUCAUGGAGGGGAACUAUCUCAUCUCUUAAACUCAAACCCCAUAUAAUAUUUAUUCUAAUACUCAAACAUAAAUUAAUAGCAUAUAUGCAGAAACUUAUUCAAAUUCAACAUAAAAUUUUUAAAACAUAAUUAAUAGCAUUUAUCAUCAUAUAUACUUAAUUAGUAAAAUUUUGUCAAUUUUAAUUAUAUAUAUAUAUAUAUAUAUAUAUAUAUUCUAAAGUCCCUUAAAGAUUUUUAUUUUAUUUUUUGAUACAUUGAAAGGACAAAUAUUCUAUUUUUUCGUUCAAAACAUAGUUGUCAAAUAGUAUUGUGCAAAUUAUGAUAUUUAUGAAGUUGGCUCUGAAUAAUAUCUUGAAAUUGUCUUUAUUACAAGGAAAAUCGAUGAGAUCAAAUGUUUUUAAUUAUUUUCACAAAAAAAAUGCUUUUACUUUUAGAUAAUUUCUCGAUACACUUGUGUUAAAUAUAUAAAUUUUCUGUUAAAAGAAAAACAAAUAUUGCUUGCGCACAUAGUUAUUUUAAGAAAAAGGUUUCAAAUCAUUAUAGAAUUUUCUUGUUUCAGUUGUAUUAUAAGAAAAUCACCAAAUAAAAAUUAAUUUUAGAUACCUAAAUAAUUUAUUAUUAUUUAACUAAAUUAGAAACUAUUUUAUAAAUUAAAAAAAUUAUUAGUGUCAAAAUAGUUUCUAUUAUUAAUAAAAAUUUAUAAAAUAAUUUUUAAAUUGAUAUUUAAUCAUUAGUUACCAAAGUUUUAACUAAUUGUUUUGCAUUCUAAAUUAGUCUCUAUUAGUCUUUUAGAGACUAAUUUAGAAUCUAAAAUAUUAGUAGCUAAAACUUGGUAGUUAAUUUAGAUACUAAUUUAAAAAUUAUUUUAUAGAUUUUUAUUAAUAAUAGAAAUCACUUUAGAUAUAAAUAAUUUUUUAGUCUCUAAAAUAAUUUAGUCAAUAUAGUGACUAAUUAUUUUGUUGUCUCUAAUUUUGAUUACUAUUUAAUAAUUUUCCUAUAGUGUUGAUUUGUCACAUUGAUUUUAUUUUUCUUAUUUAAAAUAUGUUUUUAAUUAAAAGUCUUUACUAUUUUUUUUUUUGAAACAAUAAUAGUGUGGGAUUAAAAAAAAAGUUAAAAAACAAUACAAACACAUAAUACUUAUAAUAUUAAGAAAAUUAAAAUAAAAUUAUUGUAGUGGUAAUCACCCUCUCAGACCAACAGCUAGUUAGGUUUCCUUGAUUAAUGGUAUAAUAAUUAUAAUUUGACUUAAAAAAUUAGCAUUUUCUUACCUGUGCCAAUGGUGUUCUAAAUACAUAUUAGAGCAUUUGCGAUAUCUUCCCUUAAUAUAGUGACUUAAUCACUUUUAGUUAAUUUUUUCUGGCAUUAACCGCUUUUCUACUAUAAAUUAGUUUCUAAUUGUGCUUUCUAAUAUUAACUCUCCUUUUUACAAAAUUAUCUUACUUAAAUUAGUUUAUUUGUGAUGUUGUCUUCUUUACCAUAAAGAUUAUCACACUUGCAACAAAACAAUAAGCCAGUGAAUCAUUUGUUCUGUUCUUAACAUCGUAUUCUAAAUAUAGUAGUUCUAAUUAUAAUAUAUAUAUGUCUUUGAUGUUUGUUUGCCUUCUGUUCAUUCACUACAUUCAAUUUAUCUUUCUCAUUAACUAUUGAAUAUGUUCUAAGGAUUUAAAUUGAGUUCGUGAGAUGGACGUGGAUACAUUGUUUGCUUCAAUUAAUCAGAUCAAUGUUUCUGAUCAUACUGCGGUAUGUGAUGUUUGCCUUCACACUCCACCCAAUAUUGCAUCAGAUGGCAUAUGGGGAAGACAUACCACAGAAGGGUCACCUUUAAAGUCAUCUAUGCCAGUAUUUCUACUCCAAGUGAUUUUGAUUUAUACUAUAACAAGAAUUUUGAAUUUCCCUUUAAAGAAGCUGGGUUUUCCUGCCCUUUUUUCACAAUUGAUGGUAAGUUCUCUCCUCAUAGUGUAUGCUUUACUAAAUAAUAGGCUUCCUUAUUCCAUUGCUGCAAUUGAAGAACAAUAAAGGAUUGGUUUAUUAUAAAGAUGGUUAUGGAAUCUUGAAGCAUACAAUAUAUAGGAAAAUUAACAUAGAGCAGAUUUGGAUUGAUCAACAUCUGUAAUAUGUCUAACAAAAUGAAUUAUCUUUAUUUGAAGGCUGGGCUCAUUCUAGGACCAUCUUUGGGUAUAUGGGAGAAAGAGAAGACAAUGUUGUUUCCUUAUGGAAGUCAAGAUACACUUGCUACUAUAGCAUCACUUGGUUAUAUGAUAUUUGUCUUUGAGAAUGGUGUAAAAAUGGAUUUUAGCAUGAUCACCAGAACAGGAAGACAAGGAUGGAUCAUUUCCCUUUUGGGGUUGCUAUUUCCUCUACUAAUUUGUUAUCCAUCUUUAGAAUACAUUUCACAACUUACAACCCAGGGUAUAACAGACAAAGUGCAUUCAACUGUUGUUUUAUUGAUGACACAGAACAUGACUUCAUUUGCAGUGAUUGCUUCUGUCCUCGAUGACCUUCAAAUCCUAAACUCUGAACUCGGAAGAUUGGCAUUAUCUUCUUCACUGGUGGGUGACACGCUAAGUAAUAUUCUUGUAGUUGUAUUGGCAGCCUUUGAUAGCAAGAAAGAGAAUGGACAUGGUAUAAAUGUGGUUUUCCUUCUUGCCGUAAUAAUCAUCAUUUUCUUUGUCUAUCGGCCCGCAAUGUUCAUGGUGAUUGAGCACACACCAGAAAGCCAAGAAGUGAAGGAUGUUUACAUUAACGUUAUCAUUGGGUUUCUCUUUGUUUUGGGUUGGUCCUCACUGCUCUUCGAUAUAGAAUUCAUCCUUCUACCUUUUCUUUAUGGAUUGGCUACACCAGAUGGACCUCCAUUAGGAUCUUCAUUAGUUAAAAGGAUUCAUACUUUUGGUUUAGAAUUUCUUAUGCCAAUCUUCGUGACUACAUGUGCAAUGAAGAUGAAUUAUUCCUUGCUAGUGUUCACAUCACCAAUAUUUCUCAGUUCCGUCCUUAUGAUCCUUAUGGGUCAUUUCAUGAAAAUUAUAGCUUACAUAGCAUCUUCACUCUAUUUCAAGAUAUCACUAAAGGAUGCGAUGGCUCUUGCCCUCCUUCUAGAUUGCAAAGGAGUUGUGGAAGUAGCCAUGUAUAGCUCUGCAUUGGACAAAAGGGUACUCCUCUUUCCCCCUUUCUAUUCAUUUAUUCACCUAUCUAUUUAUACUUGUGUAAAAGAAACAUACCAUGUGAAAGUUGAAUGAGACAGUAAGAGAUUGACUCUUCAAACACUCAUGAUCUCAUUAGAUAGUUCAUUAAGUAGAAGUGCUUUAGAUGGCAAAUCAAAAUUUCUUCUAGCUUCUUUUCUAAACCGUUAAUCAAAUUUUAAAUUUCAUUUUUGACCAAAUACUUAUAUGCAGGACAUCCAACCUGCACUUUAUACAGUGGUUAUAACAAUGAUCAUGAUCUCAAAUACUGUUUCUCAAUUGAUGGUGAAACGUUUGUAUGACCCUUCAAGGAAAUAUUUUGGCUACCAGAAAAGGAACAUUUUUGAUUUAAAAUUUGACUCGAAUCUCCGGAUCCUAGUUUGUAUUCAUAAACAGCAUCACACAAUACCUAUAAUGUCAGCUCUUGAUUUAUGUAAUCCUACACCAUUAUAUCCAACCUCUGUGGAUGUUCUGCAUCUGAUUGAACUAGUAGGGCGUUCCACCCCAAUUUUCAUUUCUCACAAGAUGAAGAGAGAUGUUCCUUCUCAUGCAAGAAACUCCUACUCGGAGAAUGUAAUCCUUUCCUUCAAACUCUAUGAAGAUGAAAAACUAGGUGCAACAACAAUAUACCCUUACACAGCAAUAUCUCCACCUAAAUUGAUGCAUGAAGAUGUGUGCUUCCUUGCAUUGGAUAAAGUUGCAUCAAUCAUCAUUCUUCCUUUUCAUAGAAAAUGGUCUUUUGAUGGAAAAGUUGAUCACGAGGACAAGACAGUGAGGCUACUGAAUUGUAAGGUGAUGGAGAAGGCUCCAUGCUCGGUUGGAAUAUUAGUGACUCGUUUUGUUCGUAAAAAUGAUUCACCACUUCGAUUAGCCAUGAUCUUUUUGGGUGGAGAUGAUGAUAGAGAGGCUUUGUACUUAGCCAAUCGAGCAGCCCAAGACAUUGCUAACGUUAACCUUGUGGUGUAUCACAUUACAGGUGAAAACAAUGAUGAAAAUGAAAACGAGGACAUUAUGCUUGAUCGAACAAUAUUAAAAGACUUCAAAAGGGAAUCUUCUCGUUUGAAAAAUAUUGUUUAUAAGGGAAUAAUAGUGGAGGGUGGUGCCCAAAUAGCUUCUGUUCUUCAACAAAUGACCGAGGAUCAUGACUUUUUUAUAGUUGGCAGACGCCAUGGUAUUGACUGUCCUGAAACAAAAGGGCUUCAACAAUGGAGUGAGUUUUCAGAGUUAGGCCUCAUAGGUGAUUUUCUUGCUUCUACAGAUCUUGAUUGCAAAUCCUCUGUUUUGGUCGUGCAACAACAAAACUUUUACCAUUAAUAAUAAUAAGCAUUUUUGUUGCAUCAAAAACAUCAAUUUAACUAUUGUGUCUCCAAAUAUAGUUAUAUGUUGCAUGUGAUAAGUUAUAACAAUUGCGUGUAAUCAUAAAACCUUCUAUGACGAUCUAAUGUUCAUAACAUGUUUAAUAAAGGAAAAAUCAUUUACAACGCGAUUAAGUUAUUUUUACUUAUAAAAUUAACCAUAAAUGGUAAUUACAUUGCUAGUUAUUGCUACUUUUAACCAGUUGUUCAAAUACAUCAUUAAUGCACGAAUUAAUGAUAUUUGAAAGAUGAAUAUAAUUAUACAUAAAAGACUUUCAGUGAAAUAUAUGAAAAUAAUUUACCUCAACUAAUUAGAAUGUUUACAUCAUGAUACUAAAGGAAGGAUAUAUAUUAUACGUGAUAUUAUAUACAUUGCAUAUAGUUUCUCUAUUUAAAUUUGUACUCGGACGACCGAGACAAUGCAAGUGGGCUGGUCAGGAACUUGACCAUUCGGCUGCAUAACCAUAAUGAGAAGGUCACACGACAGCACGUGACCGACCAACCCAUGACGGUGAGUCAGGGUUGACCAAGUCAGCAUGGUUAAUCCACAAUUAAGGGUUGUUUAGCACAACUCUAACCAUGAACCAACCCCCUAAUCCGGUCCACCAACAAAGGCCCAUUAAGGUAAUAUAAAUAGCACACAUUCCAAGAACCAGGUACGUCAUUAUCUAUAGUACUCUGACACCCGAGUGCCGACACCCUAACUAACUUGAGCGUUGGAGUGUCUUAUGUAGGUACCACCCCCGUCUGUGGAGCCAGACGAUCGAGAGGAGGAAGGAGAAACAAGAAGCUUGGAGUGUUAGUGAUCUACCGAAGACAGAGCCAGAAGGAAUCGUUCUCUAGGCCCCGAACCCGUUCGAGAACAAAAUUAAUUAUAAAACAAAAGAAAACAUCGACAUGAGAAGACACAAAUUUCUACGCACAAGUUAAAUCUAAUAAUGUUGUAUAUUAAGAUUCAAAGAUUACAGUGUCAAAAUUACAAAAGGAAUAUAUCCUGUCCAUAUUGCUUUUUAACAAUAAUAAUUUGACAGACAAAGAUGUAUGCAGGGACAUAUAUCUAUUACACUCUCAUCUAUGAUAAAUUUUUUCAAAUCUAUAUUUAUGUCUUAGUGGUUGUAUCAGUGGUAGAGAAAAACAUUAUUAUGUCCUUCACAAAGUAAUACCUUUCUAAGUAAUACUUAUUGAAUAUCAAGUUUACAACAACUUUUUUUCAAUAUUAAUUUCUUAUUGUUCGAAGUGACGUUAAAAAAUAUUUGGAAUUUUUAGUCUUAGAGAGAAAUUAAGAAGUGAUAAUCAGGAGUGACUUGAGUAUUCAGUUUAUAGUUUUUUUUUUUAUAGUGAAAUCCUUUAAGAGUUUUUAAAGAAAAACUAGACUUAUCCCAAGCGUUAGGGUGAACCAAUAUAAAUUUUUUGUGUCAUUUUUGUUGUAUAGACAAUUCAUUCUUAGAGUCUAGUGUUUGUACAAAAAAGUUUUGUUUUCUAUUUCAUUUUUGUUGUAUAGGCAAUUCAAUUUUAGAGUCUAGUGUUUGUACAAAAAAGUUUUGUUUUCUAUUUCAUUUUUCUUCUAGAGUUUUCUUGUUACUUCAAUUGAUCUCAUUACUCACAGAGAGGGUCUGAACCAUUGUUUAAUAAAUAUGAUGAAUAGGUAGAUUUUAAUGAUUUAUAUUUAGUUAUUAAAGCUUAUAAUGAAAUUCCUAUUUUUAGAUAUUUAAAAGUUUUCAAAAUGGUUAAAAAAAUAUUUGAAAACUGUGACUAAAGAACUUAAAGUGAAAAAAUGAAAAAUUGUAUGAAUAGGACCAGUUUGAAACGAAAUCAUGAAAAUUAGGGUUCAACUCUUGAAAAACUUAAAAAAAAAAUUGAUAUUAAGAAGCAAAAAUGUAGAGAAAAGUUUAUCCUCAAAUGUUUGUAAAAUAGUAUAUAAUCUACUGGCUGAAAAUGCAACACUAAGAAAGGUCAUUUCCCAAAUUGAGGUGGUCAACAAAAGACUUGAGCUUUUGAUAAGAACAUCAAGAAAACUUUAUGGUAAAGUAGGAAUUGACUAUGAAGAAAAUCUGUCUCCUAAAAAUCUCAUGCAUCUUUUUAUCAAGCAUUGCAUUGUGGUAUUCCUAAAAAGGAACCAUAUAGAAAAACUAACAUAAAAUGAUCCAAGUUCAUUUGGUACUUUAGAUAAAAAAGAAUACCUAUUGUAGAUAUGUUUAUUACUAGCAAGCAAACACUUAUCAUAGUAAUUGGACAAUAGGUGUUCACGAUACAUAAAAGGAGAAAAACAUGUUUCCUACUCUUGAAACCAAGAAUGGAGGAAUAAUGUUUGAAGCAGCAAAAAAAGAAUACUAAUUGAAGUUGGUCUAAUAGGUAUGAAACUUUUUCCUUCAAUUAAUAAUGUUAUUUUACUAUACCGUCUAAAGCAUAAGCUUUUUAGCACAAGUUAAUGGUAUGACAAGAUAUAAUGUUUUCUACAAAAACUAAUUUAUAGUCAAGAUUGUGAUGGAUUAUGUUGUUUACCGCCAAUAGACAAGACAAUCUAUGUAAGGUUGAAUUAGACAUGUUAUCGCCUCAUAAUGUCUUGAGCUCAUAAAAUAAGAUCAUUUAGUCUAACAUAGAAAACAUGGUCUUACAAAUUUGAUAUUAAUCUUAAAAUUGCAAAAACAUAACCUCCAAUGGGGUUUGCCAAUAACAACAACAAUCUUUUUUAUGAAACACAAAUAAAAAGAAAACAAGUUAAAACACUUUUCUAAAGUAUGAACAACGUACCAACAUAAAUGUCUCUUGAGAUUAUACACUUGAACUUAUUUAGUCGAAUUAUAAUUACAUUUUUCAAUGGUAAAUAAUAUGGUAUAGUCAUAGUAGACAAUUAUACUAGAUAGACAUGGGUGAAACUCUUAGUUUACAAGGAUGAAUCAUUCAAAAUCUUUUAUAAAUUUUUCAAAUACGUUCAAAACAAAACAAAAAAGUAUAUCCAUUGUUUCAAUUAUAAGUGAUCAUGAUAGCGAAUUCAAAAAUGAAAACUUUCAAGAUUUUUAAGACUUGAGAAGGUGGAUGACUUUUUACAAGAUAAAAUGUAAUUCAAUAAAAGUAAAAACAUAAUUUUAAAAAAUGAAAUCCAAAUGCAAUUAGCUAUCAAAUAUAACUGAAAAAAGUUUAGGGUUUCUAAUGUUUUUCAUUUCAUAUUUAUCUUAUACAUGUGAUUAUAAGAUUUAAGGAUAAAUAUGAUGGACAUUAAAUUUUAUUCUUCAUUUCAUUUAUUAUUUUUUGUCAUUUUUAGACUAUAAGCUUCCUGAGUAAAGAUCCACUAUGAAUUAAAUAAUUCAUUUAAUAUGAAGUUAACAUUUUUCUAUUAAAAAAUAAUCUAUUUGACAAUGGACUAAACCAAUAUAACAAAAUUCAAACAAGAGAUAAGAGCAUAACUUGUAAUAAGAAAAUUCAAUUUCUUGCAUAAUAAUUCUAGAAACUAUAGGAUUUUAUAAAAAAAAAAAAAAAACACUUUUUUUGUGAUUCAAAGGUAAGUUUAUGUAUUUUGUCAUUAAUGCGAGACAGACACAACUUUACUUAGACUUUUAUUGCAUUGAAGUUGUCUCAUUAAAAAAAGACUCUUUAAGUCAUAAAAAAAAGUUAAAAUGAUUUUGGUUCAUUAAGAUGUGUCAUUGUUACUUUAAUUCAUUUUUUACUCAUUAAAGUUGUGUCUAUGUGCAAGCAUUUAGCCUGUCCAUUAAAGCACAACUUAUACACAUUUAACCUAAAAUGGUGUUUAGAGUACAACUUACCUAUUUACAUAAAUUCUUCUAAAUUUAUCCAUAUUUAAUAUUUGCAAAUCAAAUUACACCGUUUGAAAAAAUUGUUUAUUUUUAUAACUUCUUAUGUUAUUGAUAUUUGAAUGAAUGAUUAUGAAUGUCUUAAUUGAUAAAUAGUUAAUACUACAUACACACCUACUAGUCAUGCAAAUAUUCAACUCACUCUUGAAUACAUAAGUUAUAAGUAAGAUUUGAAAGCUUAUAAAUGUAAAUUAUGGUCAUACGCACAAUGUAAUAAUUAAAGAAUAUUUUUUAUUUAAUAAAAUAAUAAUUUGAACUAAUUUUUAAAUAUAGUUGCGUUAUUUAUACUAUUUUUAUAUAUUAAAAAUUCAUUUACAUAUACUUUUAGUCGGGUGUCUCUCCUUAUAUAUAUAGUGCCUAUUAGUAAAAGGAUUUAUAUAAUAUAUGCAUAUGUAAAUAUAAUAGAAACAACGGAAAAAAAAUUACACUACCUUUAUAAACUUAAAUAGUUAUAUAUAUAUAUAUAUAUAUAUAUAUAUAUAUGGGGUCAUAUACUAUCAUCUUAUAUUUAAUAUUUAUGAUUACUAAAUUAUUUCAAAAUAAUAAACUUAAAAACAAUUGUUUAUAUAUACUUUUUUUACUAUUUAAAAAUCAUUUGAAUACAAUAAAAUAAAUAAAUUAAAUAUGUGUACGAUAAUACAUGUCAUCUAAUAUUUAAUAUUUUAAAUAUAAUAAUUUUUAAAUAAAUAUUUUCUUCUAAAUAAAACUAACCACGUAGUUUUUUACUAUUUUCACUUGUUACAUGAUUUGUAAAAAUAUGAAAUAUAAUUCCCGUAAUAUAAGUUAUUAAAAAUUAUAUAGUUUCACUCAAAUAUUAAAAAUAUUAAAAUUUUAAAAACUAUAAAUAUAAAUUCACACUUUUUUGUAAGAAAAUUAUGCAACUUUGAUUUUUUAUUGCGAAUAAAAUGUGUAUAAGUGAGAUUAAUUAAUAUUCUAUUAGAUUAAAAUAAAUAUUUCCACAUAUAUUUUUUGAAGUAACCAAAAACUAUUUUCUUGUAUACAUUUGUUUAUUUAAAGGAGAAAUAAUCUCUUACAACAUUAUAUUAAUUCCGUUGGGACAAUAUGUAUGUACAAAAAUAAACAGAGUGAAAAUAAUUAUUUGAUUAAAUUAAUAGUUAACAUGUUAAAUAGUUUUGGAAUAAUUAUGUUUUUUUAUUACAUUAAAUAAUAUGUUACUUUACAUCACAAAAUUAUAAAUAAUAUUAAAGAGAAAAAACUUUUCCAAAAAUUUAGUAACAUUGGCCCAUGCAGGUCUCGAACCUGCGACUUUCGCGUUAUUAGCACGACGCUCUAACCAGCUGAGCUAAUAGGCCACGUUGAAAAUAAUAAAGAAUAGUAUUAUAAUUGUUCUUUAAUAAUACACUUUGUAUAUAUUUCGAAUAAAAUGGGUACAUGCAAUAAAUGAGUAUAAUAAAAUGGGUACAUUUAAUAAAUAAGUAUAAAUAAAAUGGGUACAUUUAAAAAAUGAAGAUUAUAUUGAUUAAUUUUGAUAAUAUAUUAUUUUAGUAAGUAUAUUAUAAUCCAAAAAAAGUAUCAACAUUAUUUCUUUUGUUCUGGUUUGCAAUUGAAUUCAAAAUUAGGUUUGUAAUAAUGUUUGGUACAACAAAGGAAUCUUAAAGAAAAACAAAGAAAUAAAAGACAUUAGGACUACUUUAUUUGCAUAGGUUCUUGAUGGUUCAAGUUUAUUUUUUCUAAAAUAUAUGUCAACUCGGUUUUGUAUACGUUGCUUCUAAAUUUUGAUCUUACUAUUCUUUGAUAAAAUAAUUCAUAUUUUAAUCAUACAAUUUUUUAAAAAUUAAUGUAUAUUAUUUAAAUAGUAAAAUAAAUUUUUAAAUACAACAAUUUUAAAAGUGUAAUGCAUAUCUUUUUAAUAUUAAUUAAAUCUCAAUUGAAUAAAUGAAAUAUGAUAAAAAAAAUUAUUGUAAUUAUUCACUAUUUGAAGUAAUGUCAGUGUCUAAAUUGUUCUUUCGUAUUUGAUACUUUUGCUUGUUUCUUUAUUUGAAGUCUCAAUUCUAGGGGAGGCUAAAACGGUUUAACCAAAACUGGUUGUGUACUUAUUCUAUCUAUGAGUGGUUGGUGUACUUGUUGUAAUCAAGUGUUUUGAUUAGUUGAAUCUCUUUGAGUAGUUUUUGUAAGGAAGUACUGGAUGUAAUAUGUGAGUUUGGGUGAACCAGUAUCAAAUUUGUUUGUGUUACUUGUGUACUAGUCUAUUUAUCAGUGAGAAGAUUCAAGGCUCCAUUCAAUCCUUCUUCUACAACCAAUUGUUUUUAAGCUUCAAUCAAAUAAAAGGAGGCAUAAUGAGAAAAAAAUGUCCUAUGACUGCCCCAAUGAAAACCUUAAUCCACUCAAUUUUCUCCAAAAUUCAAGCAGACUGGUGAAUAAUCAAUUAGGUGUCUUAAGUGUGGACAAGAUCAUUAUGCUUAAGAUUUUCAUCUUAAACAAUACCAAAACUAGACUAUUCAACAAUGCAAAAUGAUAAAGUGGCAUAGAUUGUUCUAAGAAAGCGUGCAUAUAAUUAUUUAUUCAUGAGACACAUAGUAGAAUUUUUUAUCUGUUAAUUGAACCUUUAUCAAACUUUUAACAAAUUCGAAAAAACAGUAGAGGUACUAAUUGUGGCAAUAACCUAGUAUUAUUUGGCUACUCAAUUUUCUUCCCAAGUAGUAAUGAGAGUAAAAUUAAUGCAAGCAAUCAAAGUACCUAUGUUCGCACCUCCGCUCACACUACCUUCUACUCCUACACCGUUAAUGCCUACACCAGCACCACGACGACCACCCGCAACUUCCUCCUCCUCUUCCAAUGGCUCUAUGUAUUAAGGUGAUUAAAAAACUUACCCACUCCAAUACCUAAAAGCUAACAAUAACUUUGAAGCUUGAAGAAGAGCAAAGUGAGAAAAUUCUUUUACAACAAUAAUAAUAUUGACUAAUUUAUUCUUAUUUUAAAAUAAAGCAAUUGUUCAACUAUUCUAAUUCUUUUUGGAUUAAAUUGUUUUAGUUUAAAUGAAUUGUGUAUUUUUUUUUAUAAUCUCUAAACGGACAAAAAUGUGAAAUUAUCUAUUAAAUAAGCUUUAAUAUAUUUUGAAUUUGUAUUUAAUUCAACGCUAAAUAAAUGAUAUCAAAAGUUUUCGGUUACUCUAACAUUUAAAAAAUUUAGAUUUAAAAGUAAUAAUUUAUUUUGAAUUUUUAGUUCAAAUAAUAACAUAAUAUUAAAGUAUUAUUAUUAUUAUUAAAAUAAACAAUUACAUUUAACAAUUGAAAACAAAUCGGUGGCUAAAAAGUAAACAUAUUCAGUGGUUGAUUUAGUGGCAGAAAUAAGCAGUUACAUUUAGCAGUCGAAAGCAAAUCAGUGGCUAAAAAAUAAACAAAUUUGGUGGCUGAUUCGGUCGCAGAUAUAUUUUUUCGAAUUUAUUCAAAACAACCACCACUUUAACAAUCAAUGGUUUUGUCACUCUCAUGUUCAGUCAUUGAUUCCGUCGUUAAACUAACUAACCUCAUUAAUAAUUCAUUCGGUCACAGAUUUGACAUUGAGGGUAUUCAUUGGCUAUUUCAAUCGUAAAUUGCGACCACUCAUUUUCGGUCACUGAAUUCGGUGACUAAAAUAUUAUUUUCUUGUAGUGAUUAAAGGUAAAACUUUAAUCUUAGAAAAAAAAUCAUUCAUUUAUUUUUAAUGAUUGUGUUCAACACCUUGACUUGUCAUUCUCCUUUCUAGAUAUUAGUUUGGUUGUUUUGACCCCGAGUAAAUAUGUAAUUACCAAUAAAGUAUGUCUACAUUGUCAUUUGUUCAUUGAAAAUAAGAAAUUUAUUGUAAGUUUAAUUUUUAUACCUUUGUCAAAAUUGGAUGUAGUUUUAGUUAUGAACCGAUUAUCUUUCUAAAUUGUGUAGAGAAGUCUGUAGUAUUUUCUAAUUUUAAGGAUAUUUUGAAUUCAUUUACCAACUUAAUAAGUGAGCUUUUAGAAAAUGAAUUUCAAGAUAUUUGUUAUUAUAUUGUAUGGAAGUGAAACGAAGUUAAUUUAAAAAUUUAUAGUAGUUGUUCAAAAUUUUAUUGAAGUUUUUUCGAUGAUAUUCGUGAUUUACAAUCCUAUAAAGAGAUCAAAUUUUUAAUAGAUUUGAUGUUUGAAACUGGACCAAUUUCAAUAGCAUCAUAUAAGAUGUCAUCUUUUGAACUAGAAGAACUGAAGAAACAACUGGAAAAAUCACUUGAAAAAUAAUUCAAUCACCUUGGGGAUCUCCUAUUUUAUUAGUUAAAAAGAAAAAUGAAAGUUUUAGGUUGUGUGUAGAUUAUCGUCAGUUAAAUAAAUUCACUAUAAAAAAUAAAUGCACUUUCUCUAUGAUAGAUGAUAUGAUGGACCGAUUAAGAGAAACAUAUGCAUUAUUGAUAAGUGCCAUGAUUUAGUGAUAUUUUAUGAAAAAGAUAGGCACUUAUGAAUUUUAAUUAUUGAUAUAGUUAUAAUCCAACCUUAAAUUUAGGAAUUUGAAUAUUUUUACUUAUUUUUGGAUUAUGAGAUGAUUAAGAACUAUUUAUUCCCAAGUUUGUGCUAAUUUCAGGAAUUUAGGGGAAGAUGGAGAUAAAGAGCUAAAUGAGGAAUAGAAAAGUUAGAGACAAGGAGUAAAGACAAAGUUGUGGCAUUCAAAAUUCGCCAAGAACUCGCCCAAAUGAGUUUACUCCAUAGGCAAAACUUGCUCUAUGGAGCAAACUCGCCAAGGACUCGCCCAUGCUCACCUAAGACUUUCUUAGAACUCUCUCAGGCUUGCUUAAGCGAGUUUCUCCAGUGAAGUUGGUUUUUAUUCUCGUGAAACUCACUUAAGCAAGCAAUAUCUCGCUUGAGCGAGAUGCCACUUAACCUACAUAAAGGAGGUCGUCGUUAAGGAGAAACAUUCUGGAUCUUUUUUUCUUACUUUCAAUGCUUGUAAUGACCAAUAUGAAUGGCUAAGUCUUCCAUUUGGGAUUGAAAGUAUUUUGUUCAAACUCUUAUGUAUUGAGGUCAUAAUUAUUUAUAAUAUUUUGUUCUUGAUUGAUAUUGGUAUUAUCAUUUUAUUCUUAAAGCUUGAAUCUUUAUUCAUAAUUUUGAUCAUUAGAUUUGACUGAAAAGUACUUAUGAGUAUCUGACCUAAAUGAUAACGUUUAACAUAUUUGAAUGAUAAGAAUAGAUUUGAAAUGUUAACAUAUGUUUGUAAUGAUAAAAAUAUUUUUAUAAAUAUGUGAGGAAUCAAUAUUUAGGAGACAAUCUUAAUAAUUUUAUAUGCGAAGAAUCAAUAUGAAUGAUUUUUAUAUGUGCAUCAAUGUCAAUUAAGUUAGAAUGUUAUAUGUUUUUAUUCGUUGAAAAUACAAACGAGUGAGAAGAAUUAAUCCCAAUCCCAAAUUUCUCAAUUUCAAUUAUCUUAAUCGUUUACUUUGUUUUCAUUUAAUUUAUCACAUAAAUUUAUGAUACCUAUAACCUUUCAAUCAAACUUUGGCACAUCUUUUGAUAUUUAGUGAAUAUUAUACCUUGAGAUUUUAAAAUAAUUGGUUCCUUAUGGGUUCAAUAUUUGUCUUUAGGGACAAUUUAUUAUUUCUGACUCGAUAUACUUGUCGAAAUAAGUCAUCAAUUAUCUAACAUAGAUUUAAGGUCAAAGUAUUAUCAAUUUAGGGUAAAGGCAAAAAAAAUACAAAAAAAUGUAUUAAAGAAUUAAGUAUGGACAUUAUGAAUAUUAAGUGAUGCCUUUUGGUGUGACCAUACUUCUACAGUAUUCAUGGAUUAUAUGAAUAAGAUAUUUUGUCUAUUUUUAGAUAAUUUUGUAGUUGUUUUCAUAGAUGACAUUUGUUGAACUUUUGGCAAGCAUAUUAAAAUCAAUUGCAGUAUAAUAGUUUAAUAGGUAAGAGUUUUGAACCCAUGAAAAACAAAUUUAAUUCAAAUUCAAAGUUUUAUUACCCAAAGUAUAUAUAUAGAGAGAAUAAUGAUGUUCAUGAAGGAUUGAUGGUGAAAAGAACUAAAUUGCAUCUAAAAGUGUAAAGAGUAACAUCAUAAUUUAAUUAAAGAGAUAAGUGAGCAAAACUGGGAUUGAAUUUCAUCUAUCUCAUUCGUUUGUAUUUUGAAUAGUGAGAUAUAUAACAUUCAAAACUAAGUCAUUUAUAUUAAUUCCUCAUAUCGAUUCAUCCAGAUACAGAAGAAAGAGUUCUACUUCUCUAUUGAUUCAAACGUUCUACCUACGAGAUAGGGAUAGAGAAAGAGGAAAAAACCGAGGAUUUCACAUAGUACUUUUGAUCGAAAAAUCGAUCUGAUUUUUUUCAUACUUUUCGCUUAAUGAUGAAAUGAGUCAGAUUCUAUAGGACCAAACCUUGUGGGAGUUAAGAAAUGAUGAAAGAAAAGAAAAAAAAAAGAAAGUAAAUAAAAAUGAAGUAGAAGAGUCAUGAUUUCAAACGAAAAAAUUUAAACUUGAUUGAAAAGGAUCUUU
This 80584-nucleotide long non-coding RNA is filed under the name Phaseolus vulgaris (common bean). RNAcentral's name for it is "long non-coding RNA (PVUL_LNC001809)". Lineage: Eukaryota; Viridiplantae; Streptophyta; Magnoliopsida; Fabales; Fabaceae. The record is from RNAcentral.